RNAcentral lists this long non-coding RNA (50698 nucleotides) under Jatropha curcas. RNAcentral describes it as "long non-coding RNA (JCUR_LNC001150)". Lineage: Eukaryota; Viridiplantae; Streptophyta; Magnoliopsida; Malpighiales; Euphorbiaceae. The record is from RNAcentral.
GGACAUUCUUCAAGUUUACUGCAACCUCGAAGAUCAAGAAUAAGAAGAUUUUCUAACUGAAGGAAGCUUGGCAAACUGCGAAUACUUACACAGUACCUUAAGUCUAGCCGAACAAGCUUGGUUGAAUAUUUAAGAGAUGAAGGAAGCUCAAUGAAACGUCUACAUCUUGACAAACAUAACAUCUCAAGGUUUGGGGCUUGAAAUGGGUCCGAAAUUCUCAAUAAAGACAGAGAGCUGCGGAGGUCCAUAACUUUCAAACUUUUAAAAGGCUGUAAUAAAAAGAGCAAGAAUAUGAAAUAUUAAAAUUUCAUGCUUUAUAUAUAUUUGUUAUUUAUCCAAAAAAAAAAAUAUAUAUAUAUAUAUACAUAUAAUUUCACUACUCAUCCAAUGGUGGCUACUGGCUAGCAGGGGCCAUGGCCCCCAUGUCUCAAAAAUUUUAUCUUAUAUAUAUUUUUUGAGAAAAUGAUCAAUGUGGAAUGUAUUUUAAUAUAAUUUUAUAUUUAUAGUAUAAAUAUAAAUAUAAUUAAAACAUAAAGCAUAAUUUAUAUUUUUAUUUUUAUUUUUAGUAUUCUUAUUAUUUAUUUUAAAAUUACAAUAACUAAAACAUAAAGCCAAAUACUCACAAAAUAAUUAUUUUACAAUUCAAAAGUAGUUAUUUACUUAUUUGUUUAUUUAAUCAAAUAAUACAAAAAAUAAAUUCUAAAAAUUGUAGUUUAAUAUAAUUUUCUGUACACAUACCAAAAUUAAAAUAAGCCAAUUUAAAGUAUGGAGAUUAAUAAACUUAUGUCUAGGUAGUUUCUAUUUGUUGUUGCUAUAAGGGUAAAAAUUAACACAUCAUCUGCUGUUUAAAUAAGCCAAAAGUAUAUUCUUAACAUUUGAAUUUCUUCAUAUAUUGAUUGAUCAAAAUUUUUAUUACUUCACGAAAUUAAAAAGUCUCAUUUAAUUCAAUGAUUUGACCUUUAACCAUAUUAAAAUUAAUUUGUAAACAAAGUAUUGGAUCCGCCACUCAACUAAAUACAAGUUAUUAUCUCCAUUUUAACUCAACUAUAAAAUUUAACUCAACUAUACAAGUUAUAUUAAGACCAAUUUGACUAAUCAAACCAUUUUUAUAAAUUUUAACUCAGCUAAGUAUAAGUUAUUAUCAAACUACAUCUUAUUAUGUUAUAAGUUCAUUUACACCAAAUACAAAUAUUAAAGUUUAGGAAAUAUACCUUAUUAUUAUCUCCAUCCCACAGUUGUUUGAGUUGGCUGCCAUGCAAGUGAAGUUGCACAAGAUUAUUUGGGCAAAACUUCAACGGCAAUGAUUUCAAAGGGUAACUGUACCAAUCUAAAUAUCUUAGCUCUUCUGGAAGAAAAUCAAGGCCAUCAGGCAAAAUCAUUUUGGAAACAAAGAUUAUGAGGAAUCUAAGAUUAGGCAUCUUCAUGAAAGUUUUGGAACUUAUCUCAAAAGCUUCAAUAAUGAACAUCUUAAGCGAAAUGCACUCAAUCUUAUCAGUUCCCUGAUAAAUGAACAACAAAUGAAAAUAGUUAAUUGAGAAUAAAGUAUUUAAAAAUAAAAGCUAUUGGAAUCAUCUAAUUAACUAAUUACGUGGAGCAGUAAGUUCAAAUUUCAAUUGUUCAAACAUAAAAAGAAAAACAAAAGAAAAAUGUAGCAAAUUUUGCUCCUUACUGUAUUUGUUUUGAAUACAUGAGAAAUGUCGUCAGGAUUCCACAACCUACUACGUCCUCCAGGCUGUUUGCAUUCCUCAUUCACAAUCUCCUUUCCCAUUUGUUGUAGUAAGUUAUGCAUUUCUACUUUACGAUCAUAGCUUCCGAUGGUGAUGAGAGAUUUAUCAAUGAGACUCCUUAUUCCACAUCUCGCAAAGAAACCAAAACUUUCUAUUAUUUUUUCAAGCUUAUUUUCAUGUGUAUCUCCUUUUCCAAAGAAACAUGCGAUAUCCAGAAAUAUGCUCUGCUCAUUUCUAUCUAACCCAUCAUAACUUAUUUUUAGAACAUCUUGAAUUCUCUUGUUCGGGAUGCUUUUCAAUUUGAGCAAUUGGCUCUCCCAGUACUCUUUCUCCUUGCCAUAAAGGCUGGAGCCUAAAACUUUUAGUGCUAAGGGAUUGCCUUGAGCAUAACUUCUCACCUGCUGGGAUAGCAGAACAUAUCCUUCUUUCGGUUCAUUUUGAUGGAAAGCGUGCAAGCUAAAUAGUUGAAGAGCUUCCUCAUAAAUUAAUCCCUUAACCUGACAAAUAUGUUCUUCAUGACAAACAUUUUUAAGUACUUGUCUAUCUGUACUAGUUAUAAUGAUGCUACUUCCCUUACGGUACAAACUACAGUUUCCAGCUAGAAGAUCUAAAUCGUGUGAAUCAUCAACGUCAUCAAAAACAAUAAGAACUUUCUUACGCUGAAGCCUCCUCAGAAUCCAGUCAUCUAAAACUAAAAGUUGUGAGCCCAUUUUCAAACUUUCCUCUCCCGUUAGUGAACGAAUGAUUCUAUCCCGUAAAACAAUUGCUGUUUCCUUCUUUAUCUGUUGCUUGACAUUUGAAACAAAGCAGUGGGCAUCAAAUUUAGCCUUGAUUUGGGAAAACACUAUACCAGCAAGCGUUGUCUUUCCAAUACCAGCCAUUCCCCAAAUUCCUAUUAUCCAAUUUCUGUCAUUUACAUCAAUAUCCAAUAACGAUAUUACUUCCUCGACACGCGAAUCAAUUCCAACUAACUUGUCAUGGUAACUAGCAUUUGAUGGCAUAUGACUUAAUAUCUCUGAAACACGAUUGACGAUUCUUUGAACUAGCAUUUGGUCAUUCCUGAUCACAUAUGAACAACAAAAAGUAAGCCCGAACUUAUAUAUUUUCUAGAAUAGAAUCAAUUAAGUGUUUGGAAAAACUGGGUGGGUCAAUCCCAUGAUUGAAGGAAUAGGAGAAAAUGAAACAGAAUUUUAACAAGAAAGUGAAAAUAAGUAACAGUCCAAAGGAGUGGAUAUCGUAACUAAAAGCCAUCUGUUGUGUGCGCAAGAUUGAUCUAUUAUUAAUAAAUAGAAAAUAAAAAAGACAUGUAAAAGCAAACAAGGGAAAAUAAUAACUUUACUUGAUCUCAUUGGAAACAAAAGCACCUAAAUCGUUGCUGAUUGUCUUCAGAGCAUGGCACCAUCCACCCAGGUUGUGUGAUCUAUCGCUGUGAUCUUGUAAAAGCCUAGCAAGUGCCUUUGUAAAAGGCCCUCUCAGCUCUUGAACAUCAGUUGGAUCUACACGGUAAAAAACUGGUAAAACCAUUUGUCCUCCCUUUUCUCUGCAUUUAUUUAUCACAACAAGUUCGUCCAAGCACCAUGGAGAAUCUGCAUAGUUUUUGGAGAAUAUGACAAUUGAAAUACAUGAUUCUUGAAUUGUUUGCUUGAGGGCUGGUGUUAUUUCAGUUCCUUUUUGAAGGUUUUCAUCCUUGAAGGUAUUGAUUCCUUUUUCCUUCAAAGAUUCAAAGAGAAAGGAGAGAAAACCAUCGCGGAUGUCUUUGCCUCUGAAAUUAAUAAAAACUUCAUAGUUAUUUAGCUCGGAAGGGAUUUGCUGGGAAGAGGUUGAGGAUGGAGAAGAAGCAGCAUUGGCAUUAAUGAUAAAAGAAGGGGUUAGCUGGAAAGAGGUUGAAGCAGAAGAAGAGAAAGAAGAACUCAUAACGGAAAAUUCAAAUGAUACAAGAAGCCGUAGAAGGGCGAGUUUUAUAAAACGUAGAAGAGCAUAUAUAAAGCUAAACCAUUGGGAUUUGAGAGUCAUCAUCACAGAAACUUCAAAGAAGCUUUUAGGAAAGUGAGUGAGUGGAAGUGGGAAAGAGAGAGAAGUGGGCGAUGCGAGAGUAAAGCCAAAAAGAGAGACAUUGUAGUGCGCGUGUGAGCGGAUCUCAUGUGCCGUGUUUGGAGCUUCGCUUGAUUUGUAUAAUUACAGUUUAUUGCUCACUUAUAAAAGUUAUUUCAAUUUAAUCCAAUUGCUGAUAAGUAUAAAAAUCAUAGUAUAAAUACCGAGGAAAAUUGACCUCACAAUCACGAUCUAAUAAUUUUUUAUAAAUCAUAAUUAGAUAAUUAUGUAACUCUUUGUUAUAAUUUGAAUUUUUCAAGACACAUUUCAAGCAUAAAAAAUAUUAUAUUAUUAAUUUAUUUAUUUAGUUGCUCAAAAAUCAAAAAAUUCAUCGUUAAUGUCAUUAAUGUUUAGAUAAUCAAAAUGUAAUCAUUGCCAAUUAUCCACUAUCCACGUUAAAAUUAUCAUUUGAAAUUAUAUAAUGUAUGAUAGGUAACUUAUUAAAUAAAUUUACUUUAACAGAUUAAUAAUUAAUAUAUAUAUUCCUCGGUCCCAUAAUUUUAAUAGGCAAAAAAGAAAAUUAUUGAGAAUAUUUUGUAUUUAUACAUGGAAAGAGGGAGGAAAAGUGGGAAGAAAGAUAAAAUAUGAACACCAUUAUUGCAAUAGUCAAAAAAGUAAAUUAAAGGAAAUAUCUUAUUCUUAUACAUGAAGGAGGGAGGAAAAGGGGGAAGAAAGACACAAUAUGAACCGCAUUAUUGCAAUAGUCAAAAAAGAAAAUUGAAGGAAAUAUUUUAUACUUAUACAUGGAAGGCGAAAGAAAAGACAUAACCACGUAGGUUAUGUUUAUUUUCGGAAGACAUGAUGUUUUUAGUUGAAAAAUAUUUUUUAAAUAAUUUUUUUUGUUGGUUAUUUGCAAUAUUAAAAAUUAGUUAAAAAUAUUAAAAUUUUAACUCGUAAGAUCAUAAAAAUAUUAAUAAUAAUAUAAAUUUUCUAUUUUGAAAAUUUUAUUGUUAAAUAUGAGAAGAAUGCAAAAAAAAAAUUAAAUUAUGAAAGUUGUCAAUGACCGAUGAUGGUGGCUGAUGGUAACCGAUGGUGGUGAAUGAUAAGUGGUAGUAAUAACUACCAAUGAUUAAUAAAUUAAAAAUUUAUAAGGUUAUAAUAAAUUUAUUAAUAUUGGAAAAAUGUUUUAGACUUUAAAAAAUGGAAAGUCAUUUUUCUUAAAAAUGACUCAUAUUACAAUAGGCAAAAAGGCCAACCAAUAUAGAUUUGAUAAUCUCGUAGGCGCGAACUCAUGCAUGUAAGAUCCUUCAUACUGCAAAAUUUGUAAGUUUAUCCUAAUAGUUUAAUUUAGUAUUUUUUUUUUAAAUCUAAUAAAUUAAAUAAAACUGAAUAUUUCAACUAUUAUGAGGUAAGAUGAAUUUAUUCACCGAAAUUCAAUUUUUUAUGGAAAAAUAUUUUCCAAGAAAAAUAGAAUUCCAAGAAAUUAUUCUAAAAAAUGUCUAAUUAUCGUAAGAUAAUCAUAAAUAUCUUGUAAAAUGAACAACAAUAUUAUUUUACAAAAUAUAGAAAAUAUGAAAAGUAAAAAGUCUGGAUACUAUUUUUGACAAAAAGUUUAUAAAUAUAUCAAUCAAUAUCAUAUCAAUUAACUUGAUAAUAAAAAUUCUUAAUUGCGAAAUCUUUAAACGAACAUCAUAUUAAAGAAAUUACAAAAGAACAAUAAAGAAAAAUCAUAUAAAUGAGAUUUGUUUGUCUCAAACCCUAAUAGAUACGAAUGCAACCUAUAAACAUGCAAAUCUAGAAAUUGAAAAAGACCCUAAUAUAUCCGUAAUGCCAUUUCAUAGCGGUAUUAAUUGUUGGGUUAGUCAUUGGAAAUGUCCCUAACAUUUUUCUUUGGGUGCCAACUUACUAAUUUAUAUGAGCGUGGAUUGACAUCUAAACUUAAUUUUAAAAAAAAAUUUAAUGUUUUUUUUAAAAUUUUUAAGGCGAUUCAUUGAAUCUCUAAUUGUAUUGAUUCAACACUUUAAUUUUACACAAUAAACUAGUCGUCUUCUUGGGCUCGUGUGGGAUGUAUAAUAUUUAGAAACAAAAUUGUUAUUUUUAAUAUAAUUAAUAAUUAUUUUUAAGAAUCCAAAUAUCCAAUAUUAUACUUAAUAAUAUAAAAAAAAUAAAAUAAAAAAUAAAUUUUUUAAUAGAUUCUUGCAAAACGAUCAAUGUAUUGGCAUAUGUAUACAUCAAUCAAGUUUAUAAUAACGUUUAAAAUUUCUAAUUUUUAUAAGUAUUUUAAUCGAUUUUAACAUAUUUUUUUAAAUAUCAAUUAUUGAAUUCAUUUUGAACAAAUAUCUAAAAUUUGGCAUAUACAUUAAGUUUUUAAAAAAAUUUCAUCAAAGUUUAUCCUAAUUUGGAAUAGGUUGAGAAGUACUGUAAUCUCCCUUUACAAAAUAAAACAUAAACAUCAAUUUUGUUAUUAAUAUUUAUCUAUUUCACAUAUUAAUGAUAUUAGAAAAUGAAUUUUAAUUUCAUUAAAAACAAGCAUUGUGAAAAAUUAUGAUAUAAGUGACAUUUUGCUUAACAAAAAUAAACACUUAAUUAUAAUAACAAUAAAUAAAAUGCUUUUAUAUGCAUUAAAUAUGCUAAUUGUUAUGAAUAAUUUAUUAUUAAUCACAAAAUUAUACUUUUGUUGAUCAUCGGAAAUUGAAUACACUUUGUAACUCCAUCCCCAUCACCACAUUCAUCAAACUCACAUCAAUAAAAUGACAUAAAAAUAAUCUUAUAUUAUUUGCAAAGAAUUGAUUUUCUUUAAGGUUUCAUUUAUAUUGAAAUAGAUAUAUAUACAAAUUCUGCAAUAGUGGAAAAAGAAAAAUAUAGAGAAUAAAUAUUAAUAAUUUUGUUAAUUAUUUUAGAAAAAGAAGUAAAAAGUUUUUAAAAUAUUAAUGAAAUUAUUAAUUUAAUUAUUUAUUUAAAAACUGAAAAUAUUAUCAAUGGUAUUAAUUAACAACUCUAUUAAUUAUAUUUAAAAUAAUUUUUAAAAAUAUAAAAAAUUAUUUCCAACUUAAUGUAUAGGCUAUCAUUUUGCCAUAUAAGCAUCUUAAUACUCUAAAAUUGUGCCACAAAAUUUUGUGUACCUUAACUUUUAUCUAUUUAUAUAAAUAGAUAUAUAUUUAAUAAGUAAUGUUUUGCGCAUCUUACUAUUAUUAUUAUUAUUAUUAUUAUUAUUAUUAUUAUUAUAUGUUGAUUUAGAAUAAGGUAUUUAAUUACAAUAAUAGACUAGACAAUUAUUUUUCUUUUGAACUAAUUUUUAGAGAGUGAGUUAAACCCGGUCUAUUUUAUUAUCAUGGUGUCAAAAUUCAGAGCUCAUCCUACUACUAUUGAGCCAUUAACUCUAAAUGUUCAUGCUUGAUUAAAGUAUAAUCCAUUUUGUUAAUACUUUUAAAACAAAUUAUUCAACAAUUGUUUUGUUUUUUUUUAAUUAUUUGAUAAAUAUUUAAUAAAUAAUUUUACAUGUUGAAUUGCUUAAUAAAAGUAAUUUCUACACAUUGAAAGUAUUUAAUAUAUAUAAAAUUUUACAAUAAAGACCUCAGAUAACUUAUGCAUUUGUCAUUUAUAUAAUUGUUACCUUCGAAUCUUAAUCACGUGUCUUGACGAGAAAGCUUGUGUCAAGUCAGUACUAGCAUACACAAUAGGUUUAUGAUGAAAGCUUUUAAAUGGCAUCCAAUUGUAUUAGUUUAAUCGUAAAGAAUUGAGAUUCUUAUUUUUGGUUAAUUAUAUAUUUGGAUUCUAUAUUAUGAAAGAAAUAUUUAUAAAAAUAAUAUUUUUAAAUUUAAGCAUAUCUUUAAAAAUUAAUUUAAUUUCAUAAAAAAAUUAAUCAAAUGUGAUCUGAUCAGUGUUAUUAUAAAAUUUUUAUAUUAUGGCAAAUUAAGAACGCUAUCAUAUUAUAUACUCUGUAAUAUUAUUUUAAUCUAUUAAACUUCAUAAUAAAUAAAUAAAUAAAUAAAAAGAAAGAAAAAUAAUAGAUUUGAUAGGCUUUUUUUAUUUAUAAACUACCGGUAUCCGGAUUUUAUUAUCAAGGACUAUUUAAUCCGGCUUGGGAUUUAAUUACAGUUAAGGCUCCCCACCCCUCUCUGUAGAUGCGUUUAGUAGGAUUCGAAUCCAAAAGUUCUUUCUAUAUGUUCAGCAUGCAUUGUCAACUGUCUUCUAGCACAAUAUGUAGAUAGUUUUUUUUUUUUUUUUUUUUUUUUAUGUAGGCUGAUAUAGCAUCAAAGAUUUUAAUUGACUACUGUUACCUUAAUUUUAAUUAAUUGAUUACCGGAAAAAAUAAUAAUAAAAUAAAACACAGAGGGGACAAAAUAAAUUACCAUUGAUAGAAAAUGGUUGUAAGAGUAUAAUAAAUAUGGCCAUGGAAAAGAGACAAUAUAUCAGUCAACUGAAAACAAAAAAGCCACAUUAAAAAAUAGUGCAUGGAUAACGUUCUUUCUUUUUUUUUUUUUUUUUUUUUUUUUUUGAAAAUAAGAAAGAAUGAUAUCCCAAAACUUUGAUCACAUUUGAUCUUCUACUAAUAAAUAAAUAAAUAAUAUUCACAUAAUUGCAUUUAGUAAUUAUAAGUUUAUUAAACUCAAAUUAUUAAGCUCUAGAGUACAGAUUCAAUCACGGCUCUAUAUUUUCAUAAUUUAUUUUAAUGAGAGAUAUAUAGUUGUUAUUAAAAUAUAAAAAUAUAUAAUUAUAAUGGAUUUUGGAUUUUCCAGGGCUAUAAGAAUAAUCGCGGAAAGUAUGAGAUUAAAUUAAUGCAUUAGCCCCAUUGCUUGUUGUGUGCAAAAUUACCGAUCGAACCAAACUGAAAAUUGAAUCUACCUAUUUUGGUUCAGUUUGUUUUGGUGUUCAAGAGAGAUUUGGUUAAUUGGUUCAUUGGAUUUGAAGCAAGCUUAUUAUUUGAAUCGACUCGGUCACAAAAAUUCAUCGAUUGGAUUUAAAAUUGAACCGAAAUGGCAAAAAAUAAAAAAUCAAAAUAGACCAAACCUACUGGUUCGGUGAAAAAGUUUAUGGAUCGAUUCGGUUCGAUUUAAAUUGAACGGGUCGUUUGCUCACUCUUUAUUGUUAGCAUACUCAAAUGCAAGUGCAUGUGACCAUUAGGAUCCCAACAAACUGCAAUCUACUCUCAUCAAUGCCGCUCCAUUAUUGUUUGCUAUUUUUCUUAGAAAAUAUCAUCUUCUGUGUCCUCAUUAAUUGCAUUUGAGCCUUCAACCUUUUUUUGUUCUGUAUUAAUUAUUUGCUUUCUUAUUUUUUUCACAAUAAAAUAUUAAAUUUAUAAUAAAAAAAUUUUAGUAAUUAUAAUUAAAAAUAUUACUACCAAAUCAUGUUGUGUAAUACCCAUACUGAGUAUUCUUUUUAGAAUAUGGAAAUACUUUUUUUAUUUUUGGUAUAUAAGCCCAUCCAUAUAUUUCAUUUAUUUUUUAAAAACUAUCUUUUUUUUUUUCAAGUUCAUAAACUUAUUAUCGGAGAAUUGUUUGCUCUACAUGGAGCCUUUGAUAUAUAUUUUUUACUUCAAAAAAUUUGAUUAAAAAAAUAAUCAUACAAUCUAUGGGUUAUGAUUCAGUUGGUAAUACAAAUUGGAUAUUCGGAAAGAGCGCUCAAGUUCGAUUGCCACUAAACGCACCUACAGGAAGGAGCGAAAAGUCAUAACUGUAACUAAAUUCUAAAUCGAAAUAGGCGAUUCUUAAUAAUAGUUUGAAUACUGAUGGUUUAAAAAAAAAACUUAAUGAAUAAACUUUAAUAUUUUUAAAUAAACUUAACGAAUUUCUAAUGAAUGUCAUCAUAACAGAUUCAAUAAUAUUAGAACAAAAAAAUUGUGCAGAAAAAGAAAUAGAUAUUCAUUAUUUUAUUUAUUAUUGGUGAUAAAUCUCAUUAAUGUCACUAUUUAUUAUUGUGGGUGUUUUUUUUUUUUUUUUUGACAUUAUUUAUUUUGGCUGUUAGUAUGACUUUCACCCAUAUACAUACCUCACUCUGCGCUAAGAUUUCUUUUGUGCCCAGUGAAUAGAACAAUGGGUCUGGGUAUUACCAAUUUACGAUAAUUAAAAGGAGAAAGAAUCUAAUGUAUUCUGGACCACCUGAUCUUCAGGUCUUGGUGGCUGUGCCUGUGAUUAUUGGUCGGUCUUGUGUCCCAUCCCAUCCAAAUAAUUACUUUGGCAUUUGAUUCUUCGGCGAGCUGAUUUGUAUUUGCUAACUGAUUUGAAUUUAUAUUAAAUUUUAUAAAAUUUAUUAAUGUAAUUUUUGAAUUAUUAAUUUUAUAUAAUUAGUUUGUUCAUAAUUAAAUAAAAUAAUAAAUAACUAUUAAACAUUAUUGUAAAAAAUUCAUUAAAGUGUUUUAUUUAUAUGGCAUGCUAGAAUAAAGAAAUGCAAAAAUACCGUAAAUUUUAUCUUUUAUAGCAAUCUCAUUCAAAAUUAAUUUUUAUGACAAUUGUAAUCCAAAUUUUAUAUUUUAUAGCUAUUACAAUCUAUAUAUUGAAAUUGGAAUUGGAACCGAAAUUUCAAAUAAAACAUGAAUUUUUUCGUUGAUCCUAUGUUGGAGCUUGGGUUAAUUUAACCUAAGUUUAUAGCAAAUUUGAAAAUGUCCGCUUUAAUACUCCUCCGUCCCAAAAAAAUAAUACAUCUUUUCUUUUUAGUUUGUUCCAAAAUAUAGUCCUGUCACGACCCAUUUCCAUGGGCCGGACCGGCACUAGGGCCCAGGUAAGCUUAAGGCCCCCGAAGCCCGUAGUAAGCCUGAAACACUACAAAUUUGCUAUCUCAAUAUAAUUUUAAACAUUUACAAAUUUCGCUGCUUACAAUACGCUAUAUUUAUAAUACGGGCUCACAGAAUUAUUCCAUCUAUAAUAAUACACAACUUAAAAGUAUACAAAUUCUAUAACUGCGGAGUUCAUUGACGGAUGUAUACAUAUAAGUCUUCGGACAUUUAUCUAUUUAAUUGAUCAAUACGAAAAUUAGCGAAUUUCUUUUUUUAUAGUGAAGAGCAGAGUUAUAGCUGGGAUUUAGAAAAUGCUACUUCCUGAAAGAUUUAAACAAAAGAGAUGUGAGUUUAUUAAUGAAUAAUAAUUAUUGCACAACNNNNNNNNNNNNNNNNNNNNNNNNNNNNNNNNNNNNNNNNNNNNNNNNNNNNNNNNNNNNNNNNNNNNNNNNNNNNNNNNNNNNNNNNNNNNNNNNNNNNNNNNNNNNNNNNNNNNNNNNNNNNNNNNNNNNNNNNNNNNNNNNNNNNNNNNNNNNNNNNNNNNNNNNNNNNNNNNNNNNNNNNNNNNNNNNNNNNNNNNNNNNNNNNNNNNNNNNNNNNNNNNNNNNNNNNNNNNNNNNNNNNNNNNNNNNNNNNNNNNNNNNNNNNNNNNNNNNNNNNNNNNNNNNNNNNNNNNNNNNNNNNNNNNNNNNNNNNNNNNNNNNNNNNNNNNNNNNNNNNNNNNNNNNNNNNNNNNNNNNNNNNNNNNNNNNNNNNNNNNNNNNNNNNNNNNNNNNNNNNNNNNNNNNNNNNNNNNNNNNNNNNNNNNNNNNNNNNNNNNNNNNNNNNNNNNNNNNNNNNNNNNNNNNNNNNNNNNNNNNNNNNNNNNNNNNNNNNNNNNNNNNNNNNNNNNNNNNNNNNNNNNNNNNNNNNNNNNNNNNNNNNNNNNNNNNNNNNNNNNNNNNNNNNNNNNNNNNNNNNNNNNNNNNNNNNNNNNNNNNNNNNNNNNNNNNNNNNNNNNNNNNNNNNNNNNNNNNNNNNNNNNNNNNNNNNNNNNNNNNNNNNNNNNNNNNNNNNNNNNNNNNNNNNNNNNNNNNNNNNNNNNNNNNNNNNNNNNNNNNNNNNNNNNNNNNNNNNNNNNNNNNNNNNNNNNNNNNNNNNNNNNNNNNNNNNNNNNNNNNNNNNNNNNNNNNNNNNNNNNNNNNNNNNNNNNNNNNNNNNNNNNNNNUUCUAUUGAAAUUUCGGCAGCACUUCCCCUAAAAAUUGAACUAUCCACCUAUUUAGAUAUCACAAUAUUAUCAUAUAUUUCUCAAUCAUACACACAGCCCAUCCGUCGGGCAAUCAAUCAGCUUAAUUCCCAUCCUCCUUUCAAAGCAACCAUGUCAAGAAUAAGACUCGUAUGCACUUAAUGUAUGUGAUCAUCCAUACACCAAGUCAAUUUAAAAAAAAAAAGUUCUAAAUGUUUAAUAUUGUUUUAUCGUUUUCUAUCCGUUUUCAUUUGUGCAAAAAAAAUUGUUUUUGAUUGGAUGUGUAAAUGAGACUCCUGCACCUGAGUCCAUAUCAUGUAAUGUUUGGAGAAGCUUUUGUUCAGGAAAAACGGCAACGCGCCAAUACAAUGCACAAUGAAAUUUACACCACAAAAUUUAGCUGAUGAUAAUAACAACAUAAAAGGAACCACACUUUUUUUUUUUAUUAACUACCAAAGGUAUAAAGGAACCACAUUUUGAAUGUGCAAAACAACGUUUUUAAUUUAAUGUUUAACUCCAAUUAGAGCCUAUAAAAAGCUGAGCAAAGGCACUCUCCCUGCUCACAGUGUCACACUUGCCACAAAAUAAUCAACCAUACCCAGAAUUAGCAGGUUUAAGAAAAUAUAAAAUGGAAGUUUCAGCAGUUCCUGCUCUUAUUCAUACUGUUAAAACUGAUGUUGAUCGUCGCUCUGCAAAAUUUCACCCUAAGAUUUAGGGUGACUAUUUUCUCUCCUACCACUCUAAUCUUAUGGUAUUAUAUAAAAGAACUAUGCUUGCUGUUCAAAUUUAAUUGUAUCCAUUUUUUUCUGUAUUUAUUUUUAUAGUUUCAUAAAUUUCUUAAGAAAACAUUAGCGUUCAAAUUUUUUUUUUUUUUUUUUUNNNNNNNNNNNNNNNNNNNNNNNNNNNNNNNNNNNNNNNNNNNNNNNNNNNNNNNNNNNNNNNNNNNNNNNNNNNNNNNNNNNNNNNNNNNNNNNNNNNNNNNNNNNNNNNNNNNNNAGGAAGGCAGCGCGACUGCACCUAUUGCGAGCAGCUCCUGGGUUUGCUGUGCCAACCGGAACAGGAAGGGGAGAGUGAAGAAGAGACCGAAGCUUCUUCGUCGACAACAGGGAAUCGACGCCGCCGGAAAAUCAGGCAGGAGGAAGCUCGACGCGAUCUUCCGAUCGAAGGGUGUCGCGGCACUCCUGCACCUUCUGCGUACGCCAGAGACGAAAGAGAGAGGAGAAGGGAAGCCGGGAUCCGCUGCGACGUGGACGCGAUGGCGAGGAGGCACAGCGCUGGUCUUCGGUUGUCGGAAAAAGAAGAGGAGGAGGAGGAGGAGGUCGCGCGCUGGCGCUGGCGCAAGGAAGAAGAAGGGAAAAAAAAGAAAAAAAGAAGGAAAAGAAAGAAAAAGAGACAAAAAAAAAAAAAAAAAAAAAAAAAGAAAAAAAAAUCUUNNNNNNNNNNNNNNNNNNNNNNNNNNNNNNNNCGAACCGGUUUGGUCUAAUUCAAUGAUUCGGCUCGAUUUUUGUUCGGUUUGCUGGUUUUUCACUUGGUUUUUAGGUUAUUCGUGUGGUUUUCGAAAAAUCAAUUUGAGUUUCGGGUCCGGUUCAAUUUAUUUUAAUUAUUUUAAUUAGGUUUCAUAACAUUUCCUCCAUUAACUAAAUAAAAAUAAAAAAAUAUAGUUAGUAAUCAUAUUUGAAUUUUAGGAAAAUUAAUUUAUAUAUAGUAAUCACACACAUAUACAUACACAUUUUUAAUAAUUUAAUAAUUAGUGCUCCAUAUUUACUCUUAAAAAAAUUUCUAAAGGUUCUCCACUUGGCAAAUAUUUAAUAAUAUGCUUUGGGCUUGAGCCCGACUCCGUAAACUUGGGCUCGAAUUGAAAUUGUUUGGUAUUUAUAGCCCAUAUAGUUGAAAAUCGAGAUUUUUAAUUUAAUAAAAAUUCGAAAGUUUUGAAAAUAAAAAUUCGGGAUGUUUCAAGUCCACUCUCAUUUUUUACAUUAUAGUUAAUCUUUAAAUUGUCUAUUACACCAUUAUUAAACUUUAUCUUAUUUUCAAUAACCCUGAUUAAUUCUUACUUAUUAUUCUAAUAUAAUAAUUGCUCGCGUAUUAUUUAAGAUGACCAUAAUAAAAAAAUUAUAUAAAUAAAAUUAUCCUUUAAUCAUAAUAAUUGCUAUUUUAUUAAAAUGUGAAAAUAAAAAGUAAACUAUCUUUUUAGAAUGGAAGAAGUAAUAAAUUGAGAGACAAUGUAUAAGAGAAAAAUCACUUUUUUAACGUUUCUUUUUUACGGAGAACACUAAUUUUGAGAGAUAAAUAAAAAGUUAAUUUACAAAUUUGGUUCAAACACCCAAUUAUAUAUAUAUAUAUAUAUAUAUAUAUAUAUAUAUAUAUAUAANNNNNNNNNNNNNNNNNNNNNNNNNNNNNNNNNNNNNNNNNNNNNNNNNNNNNNNNNNNNNNNNNNNNNNNNNNNNNNNNNNNNNNNNNNNNNNNNNNNNNNNNNNNNNNNNNNNNNNNNNNNNNNNNNNNNNNNNNNNNNNNNNAUAAUAUAACUAAGAGAAAUUCAUGUAACUACUUAGACCAUUAUAUUCCUUAUCAAGUGUAAAAGUCAUAGUCUAAAUACCGAGAAAAAUUGACCUCAGUCAUAAUUUAAUAAUUUUUUUUAAAAAAAAUCAUAGUUAGAUAAUUAUGUAACUCUUGGUCAUAAUUUGAAAAUUUCAAGAAAUAUUUCAAGCAUAAAAAAUACUAUAUUAUUAAUUUAUUUAUUUAGUUGCUAAAAAAUAAAGAAUCCACUGUUAAUGUUUAGAUAAUCAAAAUAUACUCACUGCCCAUUAUCCACAUUAAAACUGUCAUUUGAAAUUAUAUAUUGUAUAAUAGGUAACUUCUUAUAUAAAUUUACUUUUAAUUAAUAAUUAAUAUGUAUACUUCUCGGUCCCAUAAUUUUAAUGGGCAAAAAAAUAAAAAAGGAAUUCUAUCCCUCUUGUUUAUUGGAUUUAUUUCCUUGAUUAAUGCAAUAAUAUUAUCUUUGAAAAAAAAAUUUUAAUUGGCAAAAAAGAAAAUUAUUGGGAAUAUUUGGUAUUUAUACAUGGAAAGAGGGAGGAAAGCUGAAGAUCCAAUGAUAAUAUUGGUGAAAUCAAAGGCUUUGAUGAUUUUAGGGUGGUUCUUUGAUUUGUUCUUGGCUAGGAGCCAAAUUUCUAUAGUCGGUUGCUUUCACUCAUCAAUUGAAUAGGCCUCAACAUCCAGUAUGAGCUGGAAAAUCAAAUUAGUAGGGUUAUUUUGAUGCGCAGACUAUAAAUAAUCGUUAGCUUUUAGAGGUUGCUGUCGGAAACUUGCUAGAUUUGUCAGUCUUACAGUCACUGAAAGUAGAGGAUUCAUUAUUAACACUCAUAUUCCCAGAACUCCUUCCUAUGUAAGUCGUACAAUUUUCUGUCUCCAUCAAGAUAGUAUUCUAAUUUCGCUAUACCAAAUAUUGAAGCUUUGGAAAAUUAUUGCUCUAAUUUGAUUGGAAACAUACAUUUUGAUUAAUGACAACAAAGAAAACAAUGUUGCAGAGAGAAAUUUUUUCUAAUUUUCUUUUUGAUUUGGUUUUAUUUUGACUUAUAUUAGCUGGUUAGAGUUUUGAUUUUUAGGUUUUAAACUUUUGGUGAUACCGAUGGUUAACAGUGGUAGUUGGUUUUGGAUUAUAUAGAGACAUGGUCAAUUGAUGAUGGCGACAACGAUUUUCAAAGAGAUAGAAUGUAGCUGUAACUGUGGUUGUGGUUUUUGAAAUGGAUAGCUUUUUUGGGAAUUUUCAAAGAGAUAGUAUUUAUACCAAACAAUCUUUUUCACCUUUAACAAUGAGAUAAAUUUUUUAACUAUGAAGAAAAGAAAUAAAAAGAUACAAACUUUGACUAAAUUGCAGUAUGCAACAUGCAUGUGCCUCUCCCACGCGUCUUAGUCUGGGCUCCACUGACUUGUCUCCCAUUAGUGUUAUGGAGUGCCUUAAAUCAUGAGGUUUGACUAUUGGUGUAAAUUUUAGUCCAUGUUUCAUUAAAACAUUUUACUUUUCACUGACCAUAAUAUGACCUGAAUGAUGACAGCUCCAAGAUCUUGCAACUAAAAACAUUGGGGCUAUGAAAUUUAAUGGAUACUCUAAUUGAAGAGCUGCAAAUGUUUCAGAAUGUUACCAGCACUCUAUCGGUGGACUUCAUCAAUUAUGUGGAUGAAGAAUAUUCCAGAAUUGCUAGAAUUAAAAAAAAAAAAAAAAGAAAAAAAAAAGAAAAAUUCAACCCAUUGGCUUUGUAUUCUUUUAGUUUGAAUUUCAUAUUUUGAGAAUUGAACUUGCAGGUCGAAGUAGAAGUCUAACAUGAUUAAAGAUCUUCCACCAACUGCAACAAGCCCUUAAGAUACAAUGCCAACGCACAACUGCAGAAACUUAUAAAUAGAUUAGCUAGUAUGAGUGCUAAUAGCCAAGUAACAGCCAAUAAUAGCUGAUUCUCUCCACUACUAUGAUGCUGUGAAUUGAAAACUGAAGUCAACCAAAAUCCCAAAGUAACGCACGAAAUUAGAAACUUCUUUACCUAUUGUCAAUUUCCAUUUGCCAUACUAAUUGACCCUAAUCAGAGUUUUUGUCUUGAAUUCUUCUCCCAUAAUUCAGUGUUUGCCGCCUCUACUAUAUCCUUGUCCGAUUCUUUCCUUCUUUCAUUCCUUCUUUUCGCUUUCCUAUAUUCUUUCCAAUAUAUAGAAUGAAUGCCACAAUUGAUCAUCCUCCCACUAAUGACUUCACCUUUUCCGGAAUAAUUUACAGAGACAUAAUCAACAUGGAAUGAGACUCGAGUGAAAUUCCAUUUAUGAUCAAAAGAUUCAUACCCAAGGAAAACAUAUUUUGAAUCCAACUUGGAAGGCCCAAGACUUUGACCACGAAAGUUAAGGACAUACUCAUCCAUCUUUCCAGAUUUACCUUGGAAGCUCACAGAACCUAUAAUGUCAUAUGAAUCCAAAUCAAAAUCUUGGAAAUCUAUAACAGCGGCAAAAUAAAAACCCAAUAUACGAUCAGGCCUUUUCAAUUGAACUGAAAGAUGAGACCUACUUGUUCGAUAUUUCAUACUUUGCACCACUUCCACCCAAGGGAUACAUAAAUUAUGGUCCUGCUCCAUGAAAAUAUAUUUGGUUAAAGAAUAUCAUAAUUAAUUAACGAUAGAGCUGAAUUUAAAUAGCUGAUGAAUGAGUAAAUAGAUAAUUUAUACACAAAUUUUAAAAAACGCUCAUAAUGACUAUUGAAAUCUUUUCGUGAUAUAUAGUUGAAUUUUAUUAUGUUUAUCUCUCUUCCAUUGUCAAAGCAUAAAUUAAUUAUGAAUUCACAAGUUAGGAAAAUAUUUCAUUGAUGUUUAUCAUCAAAAAUCUUAAUUAACAAUUUUUUUUUAAUAAGCACUUCUUUAUUAAUUUAAUAUUAGAGAAAAGAAACGUACGUCUCGGCCUUGCUGUGCUGAGAACGGGGCUUCCGUAAUUUGAAGACGUACAUUAUCACCCAUUUUGAUGCAGAUACUAAAAUUAAGCAUAAGGGUGCAAAGAAGGUCAUCUUCUGUUUCUGCCUUAGGAAAAGGACGAAAACGAUACAAAUUCUAAAGAGGUGCAAUUUGAUGCAGAAAGUGAACUUAUGCCUGGAAGCUCUGGCAAAUAUCUAAGCCUCUUGCAAUCAUCCAAGCUAAGAGUGUCCAAGUAAGAAAGUUGUUUGAUGCUUGCAGGAAGGCUUUCGAAAUCGUUUCCAUCUAAAUAUAAGAAUGUCAAUGAAACUAAUGAUCCAAUACUCUCUGGAAUUUCUGAUAUACCACAGUUACCCAGAUAAAGCCACUGUAGCCUAUUCAAUCCGGACAACGAAGAAGGCCAUACCGUCAAACCUUUACAUCCCUCAAAAUAUACAUGUUCCAAUCGGCUCAAUUGAUUGAAAGAGGAUGGUAAUGUUUUUAUGCCACUCCCACUUGCGUAAAGUUCCUUCAGAGAUUUUAACUGGCCAAUGCAGUCUGGAAGAUUUUGAAGCUUUGUACACCAGCUUAACGAUAAUGCAACAAGUUGAGAGCAAUGUCCAAUUGAUGAAGGCAAUUGUUUUAUUGCAGUUUCAUCUAAAUUUAAUUUCCUUAAAUUGCAAGGAAGCUCUGGACAUUCUUCAAGUUUACUGCAACCUCGAAGAUUAAGAAUCUCAAGAUUUUCUAACUGAAGAAAGCUUGGCAAACUGCGAAUACUUUCACAGUAGUCUAAGUGUAGCCGAACAAGCUUGGUUGAAUAUUUAAGAGAUGAAGGAAUCUCAAUUAAACUGCUACAACUUGACAAACAUAAUUCCUCAAGGUUUGGGGCUUGAAAUGGGUCCGAAAUUCUAAUCAAGGACUUAGAGUUGCUGAGGUACACAACUUUCAAACUUUUGAACGGCUGUAAUAAAAAGAGCAAGAAUAUAAAUUAUUACAAUUUCAUGUUUUACAUAAAUUUGUUAUUUAUCGAAAAAAUAAUAAUUUCACAACUCAUCCAAUGGUGGAACCAUAGAUUUUAUGUUAUAUAUAUAGUUUGAGAAAAUGAUCAAUGAGGAAUGUAGCUUGGUGGAAAAUCUCUUGAUUGUCGUACCUUGUAACCAAGUCUGAUAUCUUAGUAAAAGCAUAAUUUAUAUUUAUAUUUUUAUUUAUAUUUUUAAUAUUCUUAUUAUUUAUUUUAAAUUUACAAUAACUAAAACAUAAAGCCAAAUACUCACAAAAAAUAAAUUCUAAAAAUUGUAUGUUAAUAGAAUUGUAUUUGACACAUCAUCUGUUCUUUAAAAAAGUCAAAGUAUAUUCUUAACAUUUGAAUUUCUUUAGUUUGGACUAAUCAUAUAUUGGUUGAUCAAAAUUUUUAUUACUCAUCACUAAUAUUUAGAAUUUAAGAUGAAAUUAAAAAGUCUCAUUUAAUUCAAUGAUUUGACCUUUAACUAUAUUAAGACCAAUUUGUGAAAAUGUAUUGGACAUAAAACAGUUGUAAAUGAUUCAUUAAGAAAAUUUAAAAUUUUAUUUCCUUGGAAACGCAUUUAAGAAUAAUUAUUAGUUUAAUGAUUACAACAUAUUAUUUCUUUUUAUGAUAUUCUUCAGGGGUUUUGGUGGCUGUGAUUAUGGGUUGGUCUCGUGUCCCGUCCCAUCCAAAUAAUUACUUGGCAUUUGAUUCUUUAGCGGCUGAUUUGUAUUUGCUAACUCAUUUGAAUUAAUAUUAUAUUUUUAUUAAAUUUUAUAAAAUUUAUUAAUGUAAUUUUUGAAUUAUUAAUUUUAUAAAUUAGUUUAUUCAUAAUUAAAUAAAAUAAUAAAUAACUAUUAAACAUUAUUGUAAAAAAUUCAUUAAAGUGUUUUAUUUAUAUGGCAAGCUAACAUGAAGAAAUGCAAAACUACCGUAAAUUUUAUCUUUUAUAGCAAUCUCAUUCAAAAUUAAAUUAAUUUUUAUGACAAUUGUAAUCCAAAUUUGAUAUUUUAUAGCUAUUACAAUCUAUAUAUUGAAAUUGGAAUUGCAACUGGAAUUUCACAUAAAAAAUGAAUUUUUUCGAUGAUCCUAUGUUGGAGCCUGGGUUAAUUUAACCUAAGCUCAUAGUAAAUUUGAAAAAUGUCUGCUUUAAUACUCCUUCGUCUCAAAAAGAUAAUACAUCUUUUUUUGUUUAUUUAUCUUAGAAUAUAGUCAACUCUCAUUUUUUGCAUUAUAGUUAAUCUUUAAAUUGGCCAUUACACUAUUAUUAAACUUUAUUUUAUUUUCAAUAAAUGCUGAUUAAUUCUUAUUUAUUAUUCCAAUAUAAUAAUUGCUUGCGUAUUAUUUAAGAUGAACAUAAUAAGAAAAUUAUAUGAAUAAAAUUAUCCUUUAAUCAUAUAAUAAUUGCUAUUUUCUUAAAAUGAGAAAAUAAAAAGUAAACUAUCUUUUUAGAAUGGAGGAAGUAGUAGAUUGAGAGAUAAUGUAUGAGAGAAAAAUCAUUUUUUUAAUAUUUCUUGAUUAGGGAGAACACUAAUUUUGAGAGAUAAAUAAAAAGUUAAUUUACAAAUUUGAUUCAGACACCCAAUUAUAUAUAUAUAUAUAGAAAUGUUCAAGAAAAGGAAAGUAUGUUAAGAAUUUUCUCAAAAUAAGUAGAAACAUUACUUCUUUAAUUACAUGCUUUCACUAUCUUUUUCUUUUCUGAUGAUGCCAUAAUUAUAUCAAGGGGGAAAAUCCCAAAAAGAAAAAAAAAAAAAAAAAAAGAGAAAGCGCGACCUCACCAGAAUAAAAUUGAGCCAUCCCACACUUUAUUAUCCCUCUCAAAAAAUAAUCACAUCCACAAAAGCUACAGUUCUACAGAUUCUUUCUUCUCUUAAUAAUCACAGUUUGUUUGUUUCCCUUUUUAAUUCAAAUUUCACAGAUUCUUUACUUUCCUUCAAAUCUCUCCAAUUCCAUAUUUUCCUUUCCUUUUCUCUCUUUUUUUCUCUUAAAUCUCUCUUAAUUACCUCAGAUUCCUGCCAAAAUUCCUUUCUCCCUCCCUCUAAAGCUCCUGUUUUUCAGAAUCAUUGUCAAAGUUAUUCCCUUUCUACGGCUUUUAACGUGGGAGAUAUGAAUUGAAGCUGAAUUGUGAUUGAUUUUUUAAUUAGUUUUAUCUGACUCCAUCUCUCUUUGUUUGAUUUUUUCAAUGAGAUUGGCUUAUUCUCAAAAAAAACUCUUUAUGCUUAGAAUUUAAUUUUAGUAUAUGCUUUUUUUUAAUAGCAACCAAUUUGAAUUCUCUUUUUUGUUGUUCUAUAACAACUUUUUAAAUAAUAACACUAAAUACUAUUUUUUACUGUGUAAGAUAAAACAUUUAAAUUAGAUUUUAGAUUCAAUUUUAGAUUUUAGAUUCAAUUUUAGACGUUAAGAUAAAAAAGUUAAUUUAUUUAACUUGUUUAAAUUUUAAUAUUUUAUUAAAAACUACUCAAUAGUUAACUCACUUAGAACUAUUUAACUCACUUAGAACUAUUUAAACAGUUAACCGCUAUUAAACAAUUAAAACAAUUAACCGUUUAAAUUUUGGUUUUAAGUUUUAAUUUUGGUUAUAGUGGUAGUUGGUUUUGGAUUAUAUAGAGACAUGGUCAAUUGAUGAUGUCGACUACGAUUUUCAAAGAGAUAGAAUGUAGCUGUAGCUGUGGUUUUUGAGAAGGAUAGCUUUUUUGGGAAUUUUCAAAGAGAUAGCUGUGGUUGUGGUUUAUACCAAACAAUCUUUUUCACCUUUAACAACGAGAUACAUUUUUUAACUAAAAGAAAAGAAACAAAAAGAUACAAACUUCGACUAAAUUGCACAUAUGCAACAUGCAUGUGCCUCUCCCACGCGUCUUAGCCUGGGCUCCACUGACGUGUCUCCCAUUAGUGUUUGGGAAGGGUUGCGUAUGCCCUAUGGAGUGCCUUAAAUCAUGAGGUUUGACUAUUGGAUAGAAGUCUAUUCAAGAAGUAUGUGGGUUACAUUUAUUUUUAACUUUUUCCUCCUAAGCAGCAGCAUAGAAUGAGAUAUUUGAAGUCUAUUUGAGAGUGGUUUGGUGGUUUUAUAAAGCCUGAGUUGUGGCGUGCUACUGGGCGGACUAUAUGACGGCGGCGAAGUCUACUUAUAGCUUUCCCAAAUAGUAGAGACUGAGGAGGAGUAAAUGGGUCCUUGUUCAUUGGCAUUGUGAAGGAAAAUGAGAAGGAACAAUCUGCACAAACCAAGUCAUUUGUUAGAUCUUUAUCUUUUGAUAAAUAUUUUUUCUUGGAAUAAUUUCAAGCCUCCAAACCUUCACAGUUCCCAAGAAGGCGGGACCAUCUUCUCGCAGUGGAUCGAGUAAAAUUGGGCUAAUUUGUGGUGGUGGGAGGAGGAAGACCAUGAACAAAGGUGUAGAGAAAGAAAGCUUAAGGGCAUCAUUUCUCAUUUUAAAAUAAUUUUCUUAGUUCUCUCUUACUUUUUUUUUAUCUUUUUAACGGAAAACGCUUAUAUUUUUAUUAAGAGACGUUCCUUAUCCGUGUAAUGGAGCUUUAAACCGGUUUUGAAUAUAUAGAGUAGUAAAAAUUUAAACGGAUUUAGAUACGAAUAUUUAAAUGAAUAUUUAAAUGAAUUUGAAACGGAUAUAAAUAGUAAAAUUUUAAAUAAAUACAGAUGCAGAUAGCUUAAAAUUUACAGAUAUCAGCCCGGCUUCCAUCCCACUCUUCCCAAAUUCAACAAAAACGCCCACUGAUUCUCUUUUUCUUCCAUUUAUUUGAUCUCUUCCAUUUAUUUGAUCUGGAAGUAGAACCACCUUAAUUAGUAAAAACUAGAUUUACAUAUAUAAGUACUGAAAAGGCAUUUUAAUUAAGCCCCCUAAUUUAUUGAAUUUUCUCUAUUAAGCCUAGCUCUUAACUUUUGGUGUGCCCGUUGUGGCAUUGUCAAGAAGCAAUUCACUCAAGGGUAUUUUAGCCAUAAAAAUAUUUUCUCUCUCAUUGGACUGCAUUUUAGUGCAUUAACUCACUGUUAAACAAUAAAAAAUUGACAGUAGUACUUAAGAGUAUGUAAUAAUUUAUUUUCAAAAAAAAACUAAGGGUCGACUAAUGUAUUUAAUCAAAUAUAAGAACGUAAUAGUAACUUUUCCUGUCAUUAAUUUUGAGAUGAAAUGUAAAUUAAUUUUGAUUUUAUUAUAAUUUAAGAGAGUUACUUGAUUAUUUAAUCCCAAUACAAAAACCUUAAACGAUUUAUAUUUCAAAACGUAUUUCUCCAUUGUUUUAGAAUCUUUAAACUCACUCAAUUAGCAACUGAACUCGUUUGUUUUUCCACUCUGUCUGUUUAACUAUUAUCAUACGAUAUUUACUCAACAUUUCUUUUUAGAAGAAAUCAAACUAGAAAAUUCAUUUAGAGGAAACUGAAUACAGAUAUGAGGUUCAGUUCAAUAUGUUUCUAUAUUUUUGUAUAAAAAAUUUAUAUUAAACUACUUAUAUAAUGAAUAAAAAAAAUAUCAUCUUGAUUUAAAAUUUUUUAUCGAGUUGACGGAGCCUAAUACUUGUGCUAUAAGCGAUCGCUUGAUCCAUUUAGUGGCUAAUCGUGGUCAUUGUUCGAUUCCAUAGCUUUUCUAUAAAUCUGAUCUGAUCACCUUCAAAUUUCUUUUUUUACUAGAGAAAAAAAAUCUACACUUCUUUCUGCAUAAUCAUCCAAAUAACAAAAUACCCUAGACAAAAUCACCAUAACGGUGACAACAAUAACUCAGAACUAAAUCUGAUAACAAAAUCCUAAAAUAUGGACAACAAUAAAUCUCAAUAUUUUGAUAACAAUAACUUAAAUCUGUAUCAAGAAAUAUAAUCCGAGUAUUAUUUGAAAAAAAUAAAAAAAAAUGGAAAAGGGGUAGCCACCGGUGUUAUGUUGAUUCUAUUGGUUUUAUGUUGGUUUUCUUUCUUAGUUUUCCGUUCUUCAUUCUUUUUUUUUUUUUUUCCUGUCACAAUUGAAUUUGAUUUUCCUGGUAUAAUUUAACCAAUUUUCAGAGUCUACUUCAAAAGGAAGCAAACACCUCGAGGGUCUAAUAUGAAUUACGCACAAAAAGUUCAAACCAGCAAAAUCAAGACACAAGGAUGAGAGUAAAUAAUUACAAGCGUUUAGGCACCAACACAGCAUGAUUAAAGAUCUUCCACCAUCUGCAACGAGCCAUUAGGAUCCAUUGCUAAUGAACAACUACAAAAAAAUAGGAAUAAAUUAGCAAUUAUGAAAGUAAUUAAGCAAAAUGCCAAAAAGAAAACACAAAAUUAGAAAUUUCUUUACCUAAUGUCAUUUUCAGUUUCAUAGCCACAUCCAUUUUGGCUUACUAAUUAUAAUUUUGGCCUUGAUUUCUUCUUCCAAAAUUCAGUGUUCCACAAUCAUCCUUCUCUGGUUAUUCACGAAUCCCGAUACCAUCCUUCUUUGUUUUAAUCAUUUCUAGUUUCGAAAUCAACCGUGUCCUAUAUUGUUUCCAAGAUAUAGGAUGAACACCACACUUAAUCAUCCCCUUGCUAACUUGAACAUAUUUGGCUGUGUUGUAAUCAUAGUCUUCAAUAGCAAACUGGAAUGAAGCCUGAGUGAAACACUCACAGUUGAGAGUUUUGUACAAAAGGAACACAUGUUUUGAAUCUAACUCCUUACUCAUUAGCUCAAUCUCUGGAAAAUGAAAGUCAUAGAUCUUCCCAGAUUUUGCAAGACAUGUUAUCGAACUUCUAUGAGAAUUAAGAAGUUGGGGAUCAAUAACAGCACAAAAACAGAAACCCAAAAUAUCUUCCCUCUCCAGCUUGAAUGAAAGAUGACAUUCACUUGUCCAAUAUCUCAUCCUUGGCAGCACUUCCACCCAAGGGAUAUAUAAUCUAAACUUCUGCAACAUGAAAAUAAAUUUGAUAAAUAUUAUGAAAAUAAAUAGUUCAUCAAAGAGAAAAUAGUUCAUCCAUUUUAUUCUGUCUACCUUUCCAUUAAUUGUAACAUUAGAGAAAAGAAACAUACCUUCUUGUUUAGACAUCCAGACAGAGCAGUUUCCAUAAUUUUGAGACAUACAUCUUUCCCCAAUUUGAUGCAAUUAAGAAAAUCAAGAUAUUCACCAUGCUUCACAUAAAUAUACUUUACAAAUGCUUCUUCAUCUUGAUCUUUUAGGGAAAGGAAAGGAUAUGAUAUAAAUUCUAAGGAGGUGCAAUUGGAUGCAACAAGAGACAUUAACCAUGGAAGCUCUGGCAAAUUUCUUAGCUUCUUGCAAUCACUCAAAUCAAGUACUUUCAACUCAGAAAGUUGUUUGAUGCUUGCAGGUAUGGUUUCAAAACUGUUUCCAUCUAAAUGUAACUCUUCCAACGAAAGUAAUGACCCAAUACUCUUCGGAAUUUCUGAUAGACCACACUUAUUCAGAUAAAGUUGCCGUAGGCAAUUCAAACCGGACAAAGGAGGCAAUUUCGUCAAACCUUCACAUCCCUUACAAAAUAAAUAUUGCAAUUUGCUUAAUUGAUUGAUAGAAGGUGGUAAUGUUUUUAUGCCACUUCAUCCCAAAUAUAAUUCCUCAAGGUUUGGGGGCUUCAAAUGAAUCUGAAACUCUAAUCAAGUACAUAAGAGCCUCUGAGGUCCACGACUUUCAAAUUUCCAAGAGACUGUAAUAGAAAGAGCUAGAAUAUGAAUGAUUAAAAUUUAAUGUUUAAUUUAUAUUUGUUAUGGAAAAGAAAUAAUAAUUUUCACUCUCAUCAAAUCAAUUUUAUAAAAUUUAACUCAAUUAUACCCCAUCUUAUUAUGUUACACUUGAAGUUCAUUUACACCAAAUAGAAAAGUAUUAAACUUUAGGAAAUAUAGCUAAACUUUUAAAAACGUACCUUAUUAUCUCCAUCCCACAGUUGUUUGAGCUGGCUGCUAGGCAAGUGAAGUUCUACAAGAUUAUUUGGGCAAAACUUCAAUGGCAAAGAUUUCAAAGGGUAAAAAUACCAAGAUAAAUAUCAUAGUUGUUCCGGAAGAAAAUCAAGGCCAUGGGGAAGGAUAUUUCUCACUAAGCUGUAAUGAUCAUACAUAUAGAGGAAUCUAAGAUUAGCCAUCCUCAUGAAAGCUGUGGAACUUAUAGAUUCAACCUUAGACAUGACAAAUAAAAUGCACUCAAUCUUUUCAGUUCCUUGAUAAACAAACAACAAAUGAGAAAUGAAUAUCUAUGCAUAUGUAUCAAAAAGAAGGGGUAAUUCAGCACAAAAUAUUAAAAAUAAAUGCUAUUGGAAUCAUCUCUAACUUUAAUUUUGUGGAGUGGUAAGUUCAAAAUUAAUUAAACUCAAAUAAAUAAAACAUUUAACUAUAGCUAUCAGGAGAGUUACACUCCUUGCAAAAUUCAAAUAUAAAAAGAAAAAAAAAAAAAAGUAGCAAAGUUUGCUUUCCUCAUUGACAAUCUCCUUUCUCAUUUGUUGCAGUAAGUUAUGCAUAGAUACUGUAAAGUCUAAAAUGUCUAUGAGAGAUUUAUCAACAAGACUCCUUAUUCCACUUCUCGCCCUUAUUCCACUUCUCGCAAAGAAACCAAAACUUUCUAAUAAUUUUUCAACUUCACUGAUAUGUCUUCCUCGAAACAAACAUGCAAUAUUAAGAAAUAUGCGUUGCUCAUCACUAUCUAACCUUUCAUAACUUACUUUUAGAAUAUCUUGAAUUCUCUUGUUCGGGAUGCUUUUCAAUAUGAGCAACAGGCUCUCCCAAUAUUCUGUCUCCUUCCCAUAAAGACUAGAGCCUAAAACUUUUAGUGCUAAUGGAUUACCUUGAGCAUAACUUAUCACCUGCUGGGAUAGCUCAACACAUCCGUCUUUAGGUUCAUGUUGAUGGAAAGCGUGCAAGCUAAAGAGUUGAAGAGAUUCCUGAUUACUUAAUCCCUUAACCUGAUAAAUAUGUUCUUCAUGGCAAACAUUUUGAAGUACUUGUCUAUCUGUACUAGUUAUAAUGAUUCUCCUUCCCUUACGGUACAAACUACAGUUUCCAGCUAAAAGAUCUAAAUCGUUUGCAUCAUCAACGUCAUCAAGAACAAUAAGAACUUUCUUCCGUUGCAGCCUUCUCAUAAUCCAGUCAUCUAAAACUAAAAGAGGUGCGCCUAUUUUUAAAUUUUCGUCUCCCAGUAGUGAACCAAUCAUUUUAUCCCGUAAAACAAUUGUUGUUUCCUUUCGUAUCAGUUCCUUCACAUUUGAAACAAAGUAGUGGGCAUCAAAUUUAGCCUUGAUUUCGGUAAAUAUUGACUAUCUGAAUCUGUUACAGGAACUUAUUCUAGUUGAUUGUGGUAUAUCAGAAAUUCCAGAGAGCAUUGGAUCAUUAGUUUCAUUAAAAGAGUUAUAUUUGGAUGGAAACGGUUUCGAAAGCAUUCCUGCAAGUAUCAAACAACUUUCUAACUUAGUUAUCCUUAGCUUGGAUGAUUGUCUGAGGCUUAGAUAUUUGCCAGAGAUUCCAAUCUUAUUUUCGUUUUCUGCAUCAAAUUGCACCUCUUUAGAAUUCGUAUCAUGUCCAUUCUUUUCCCAUGAAGAUGAAGAUGGAUUUCUGUAUGUAUGUCUUAACUUUAUUAACUGCAUCAAAUUGGGAGAAAAUGUAGGUAUUGAAAUUAUAGAAAUCGUAUUGUCACCACAUUCAAACAUAGAGGUAUGGUUCCUUUCUCUAAUGUUCCCUCUAGUUUGAAACAGCUUUGAGAGUCCUAACUUAAGUGUUAAUUUGACUGUAUUUUUCCCAAUUUUAUUUUCAUGGGGCAGGUGUUCAGAAUAUGUAUCCUUGGGAUGGAAGUGCCGCAAAGUAUGAGAUAUCAGACAAGUGGAUCUCAUCUUUCAUUCGAGCUGGAGAGGGAUGAUGAUAUUUUGGGUUUCUGCUUUUGCGCUGUUAUUGCUCCCCAACUUCUUCAUUCUCAUGAUCAAGGUUCCAUUAAAUGUUUUGAUGAAUUCGAAGAUAAAUCUGGAAAGAUCCAUGACUUUUAUUUUUUCAGGUAUGCUGUUGAUGCCUAAGUUAGAUUCAAAACAUGUGCUCCUUUGGCACAAAUCUUUCGACUGUGAAGAGCAUUUCACUCGGGCCUCGUUCCACUUUGCUAUUAGUAAGAGUUAUGAACCAAGUUAUAAUAGGGAACCGAUGAUUAAGUGUAGUGUUCAUCCUGUAUCUCGGGAACAACAUAGGACACCAAAACAAGAAAUGAUUCAAACCAACAAGGAUUGUAAUGGAGAGCCCCAGACAAGGAAACGGUCGGCGAAUGCUGAAUUUUGGGAUAAGAAUUCAAGACCAAGACUUUGAUUAAAGGAAUUUCUAGUUUCUUGUGUUUCUCUUUGGGAUUUUGAUUAACUAAACUUCGGUUUUUAAUUCAAGUCUUUGGUUUCUAAGUUUCUGGAGUUGUACGUUGGCAUUGUAUCUUAAGGGCUUGUUGCAGUUGGCGGAAGAUCUUGAAUCAUGUUUGUAGUUAUCCAAAAUAUAUGCUUGUAAUUAUUUGCUAGUUUGGAGUUUUGGAGGGAAGUAUGGAUUGAUCUCUAAAAGAUGUUUGCUUCAUUUCAAUUGAUAUUUAAAACAAAUUUUGUAAAUUGGUUCAAUUAUAUCAGCAGCUCACAUAAAUAUUUUCUUUGGAGCUUUGAUGCUAUAUCAGCCUAUAAAAAAAAAAAAAAAAAAAAAAAGAAAAAAAGCCCAUCAAGUCUAUCACUCUUUCUUUUUGUUUAUUUAUUUAUACGAGUUUCAAUACAUAGAAUAACAUUAUGAACUAUAUAAUGUAAUACCCUCUUUAAUUCAUUAAAUUAUAAAAAAUUUUAUAAUCGUUAACUUUUUAUGAAAUUAAAUUAAAAUUUAAAAAUAUUCUUAUAUUUAAAAAUAUUUCUUUGAUAAUAUAGAAUCUAGAUAUAUAAUUAACCAAAAAUAAGAAUCUCAAUUCUUUACAAUUAAACUAAUACAAUUAGAUGACAUUUAAAAAUCUUUUCAUUAUAAAUGUAUUGUAUCUGCUGCUCGUGACUUGGCGCAAGCUUGCUCGUCAAGACGGGUGAUUAAGGUUGGAAGUUAACAAUUAUAUAAAUGACAAAUGCAUAAGUUAUCUGAGUCUUUGUCUUGAAUUCUUCUCCCAUGAUUCAACGUUCGCCGACUGUACUGUAUCCUUGUCUGGUUCUCCCUGAUACCAUCCUUCUUGGUUUUAUUCAUUCCUUAUUCCGGCUUCCUAUAUUCUUCCCGAUAUAUAGGAUGAAUGCCACAAUUGAUCACCCUCCCACUAGUGCCACCAGAUUUUCCGAAAUGUUCAAGAUGGAAUGAGACUUGAGUGAAAUUCUGGUCAUGAUCAAAAGAUUUAUACCCAAGGAACACAUGUUUUGAAUCUAACUUAGGAAGCCCUAAAUAUAGCAAAUAAAAGUCACAGUCAUACUUGUACAUCUUUCCAGAUUUAUCUUGGAAGUUCAUAGAACCUCUAAUGUUAUAUCUAUCUAAAUCAAAAUCUUGGAAAUCUAUAACAACAGCAAAAUAAAAACCCAACAUACGAUCAAACCUUUUCAACUGAACUGAACAAUAAGACCCACUUGUUCGAUAUUUGAUACUUUGCGGCACUUCCACCCCAGGGAUACAUAAGUAUAAAUCCUGCUCCAUGAAAAUAUAUUUUGUUAAAGAAUAUCAUAAUUAAUUAACGAUAGAGCUGAAUUUAAAUAGCUGAUGAAAGAUUAAAUGGAUAAUCUAAACACAAAUUUUAAAAAACGCCCAUAAUAACUAUUGAAAUCUUUUCGUAAUAUUUUUUUUAUGGUAAGGAAUUCUUUAUUAAAUUUUAAAAAACGCCUAUAAUAACCCAAAUUAAAAUAAUUAAAAUAUAUAUUCCAUUGAUGUUUAUCAUCGAAAAUCUUAAAUAACAUUUUUUUAAUUAGGACUUCUUUAAUAAUUUAAUAUUAGAGAAAGGAAACGUACGUUCUGGCCUUGAUGUGCUGAGAACAGGGCUUCCGUAAUUUGAAGACGUACAUUAUCACCCAAUUUGAUGCAGUUACCAAAAUUAAGUUGAAUGCACCGACGGCCAUAUGCUGUUUCUGCUUUGGGAAAGGACGAAAAUGAUACAAAUUCUAAAGAGGUGCAAUUUGAUGCAAAAAAAAACCUUGUGCCUGGAAGCGCUGGCAAAUAUCUAAGCCUCUUACAAUCAUACAACAUAAGAGUGCUCAAGUUAGAAAGUUGUUUGAUGCUUGCAGGAAUGCUUUCGAAAUCGUUUCCAUCUAAAUGUAACUCUUUCAAUGAAACUAAUGAUCCAAUACUCUCUGGAAUUUCUGAUAUGCCACAGUUACCGAGAUAAAGCUUCUGUAUUCUAUUCAAACCGGACAACGAAGAAGGCCAUACCGUCAAACCUUUACAUCCCUCAAAAUAUAAACAUUUCAAUCGGCUCAAUUGAUUGAAAGUGGAUGGUAAUGUUUUUAUGCCACUUCCUGUUGCGUUAAGUGCCUUCAGAGAUUUUAAAUCUCCGAAGUUAUUUGGCAAUCUGUUGAAUUUCAAACCUGUAACAUCAAUGCGUUCAAGAGAUUGUAACUGGCCAAUGCAGUCUGGAAGAUUUUCAAGCUUUGUACACUCCCUUAACGAUAAUGCAACAAGUUGAGAGCAAUGUCCAAUUGAUGAAGGCAAUUGUUUUAUUGCAGUUUUACUUAAAUUUAAAUCGCUUAAAUUGCAAGGAAGCUCUGGACAUUCUUCAAGUUUACUGCAAUCUUUAAGAUUAAGAAUCUCAAGACUUUCUAACUGAAGGAAGCUUGGCAAACUGCGAAUACUUACACAGUGCUCUAAGUGUAGCCGAGCAAACUUGCUUGAAUAUUUAAGAGAUGAAGGAAUCUCAAUGAAACUUCUACAACUUGACAAACAUAAUUCCUCAAGGUUUGGGGCUUGAAAUGGGUCCGAAAUUCUCAAUAAAGACAGAGAGCUGCGGAGGUUCAUAACUUUCAAACUUUUAAAAGGCUGUAAUAAAAAGAGCAAGAAUAUGAAUUAUUAAAAUUUCAUGUUUUACAUAUAUUUGUUAUUUAUCUAUUAAAAAAAAAAUAAUUUCACUGCUCAUCCAAUGGUGGAACCAUGGGGUGGCUACUGGCUAGCAGGGGCCAUGGCUCCCAUGUCUCAAAAAUUUUAUCUUAUAUAUAUAUUCUUUAAGAAAAUGAUCGAUGUGGAAUGUAGCUUGGUGGAAAAUCUCUUGAUUGUUUACCUUGUAACCAAGUUUGAGAUCUUGGUACAAGCAUAAUUUAUAUUUUUAGUAUUCUUAUUAUUUAUUUUAAAUUUACAAUAACCUAAGCAUAAAACCAAAUACUCACAAAAUAAUUAUUUUAUAAUUCAAAAUUAGUUAUUUACUUAUUUGUUUAUUUAAUCAAAUAAUACAAAAAAUAAAUUCUAAAAAUUGUAUUUUAAUAUAAUUGUCUGUACAAAUACCAAAAUUAAAAUAAGCCAAUUUAAAGUAUGGAGAUUAAUAAAUUUAUGUUUAGAUAGUUUCUAUUUGUUGUUGCUAUAAGGGUAAAAAAUUAACACAUCAUAUAUUGAUUGACCAAAAUUUUUAUUACUCAUCGCUAAUAUUUAGAAUUUAAGACGAAAUUAAAAAGUCUCAUUUAAUUCAAAGAUUUGACCUGUAACUAUAUGAAGACCAAUUUGGAAAAAAUGUAUUGGACAUAAAACAAUUGUAAAUGAUUCAUUAAGAAAAUUUUAAAUUCUAUUUCCUCAGAAAUGCAUUUAAGAAUAAGCAUUAGUUUAAUGAUUAAAGCAUAUUAUUUCUUUUUAUGAUAUUCUUUUAUGAUCUCACUGGAUAUAUUUUUGCCACUCUCAUCAAACCAUUUUUAUAAAUUUUAACUCAACUAAAUACAAGUUAUUAUCAAACUACAUCUUAUUAUGUUAUAAGUUCAUUUACACCAAAUAGAAAUAUUAAAGUUUAGGAAGUAUACCUUACUAUCUCCAUCCCACAGAUGUUUGAGUUGGCUGCCAGGCAAGCGAAGUUGUACAAGGUUAUUUGGGCAAAACUUCAACGGCAACGAUUUCAAAGGGUAACCGUACCAUCGUAAAUAUCUUAGCUCUUCUGGAAGAAAAUCAAGUCCAUCAGGCAAAAUCCAUUUGGAACCAGACAUUCUGAGGAAUCUAAGAUUAGGCAUCUUCAUGAAACUUUUGGAACUUAUCUCAAUAGCUCCAGCAUUCGACAUUUUAAACGAAAUGCACUCAAUCUUAUCAGUUCCCUGAUAAAUGAACAAUAAAUGAAAAUAGGUAAUUGAGUAUAAAAUAUUAAAAAAAAAAAAGCUAUUGGAAUCAUUACUAAUUAUGUGGAGCGGUAAGUUCAAAUUUCAAUUAUUCAAAUAUAAAAAAACAACAAAAGAAAAAUGUAGCAAAUUUUGCUCCUUACUGUAUUUGUUUUGAAUACAUGAGAAAUGUCCUCAGGAUCCCCCAACCUCCUACGUCCUCCAGGCUGUUUGCAUUCCUCAUUCACAAUCUCCUCUCCCAUUUGUUGGAGUAAGUUAUGCAUUUCUACUUUACGAUCAUAUUUUCGAAUGGCGAUGAGAGAUUUAUCAAUGAGACUCCUUAUUCCACAUCUCGCAAAGAAACCAAAACUUUCUAUUAUUUUUUCAAGCUUAUUUUCAUGUGUAUCUCCUUUUCCAAAGAAACAUGCAAUAUCCAGAAAUAUGAUCUGCUCAUUUCUAUCUAACCCAUCAUAACUUAUUUUUAGAACAUCUUGAAUUCUCUUGUUCGGGAUGCUUUUCAAUUUGAGCAACUGGCUCUCCCAGUACUCUUUCUCCUUGCCAUAAAGGCUAGAGCCUAAAACUUUUAGUGCUAANNNNNNNNNNNNNNNNNNNNNNNNNNNNGCUGCUCGGAUAGCUCCGCAUAUCCUUCUUUCGGUUCAUUUUGAUGGAAAGCGUGCAAGCUAAAGAGUUGAAGAGCUUCCUUAUAAAUUAAUCCCUCAACCUGAUAAAUAUGUUCUUCGUGACAAACAUUUUUAAGUACUUGUCUAUCUGUACUAGUUAUAAUGAUUCUACUUCCCUUACGGUACAAACUACAGUUUCCAGCUAAAAGAUCCAAAUCGUUUGAAUCAUCAACGUCAUCAAAAACAAUAAGAACUUUCUUACGUUGCAGCCUCCUCAAAAUCCAGUCAGCUCUUGAACAUCAGUUGGAUCUACACGGUAAAAAACCGGUAAAACUAUUUGCCCUGACUUUUUGUAAAACAAUUGCUGUUUCCUUCCUUAUCAGUUCCUUGACAUUUGAAACAAAGCAGUGGGCAUCAAAUUUAGCCUUGAUUUGGGAAAACACUAUACCAGCAAGAGUUGUCUUUCCAAUACCAGCCAUUCCCCAAAUUCCUAUUAUCCAAUUUCUGUCAUUUACAUCAAUAUCCAAUAACGAUAUUACUUCCUCGACACGCGAAUCAAUUCCAAUUAACUUGUCAUGGUAACUAGCAUUUGAUGGCAUAUGACUUAAUAUUUCCGAAACACGAUUGACGAUUCUUUGAACUAGCGUUUGGUCGUUUCUGAUCACAUAUGAAAAACAAAAAGUAAGCCAAAACUUAUAUAUCCUAGAAUAGAAUCAAUUAAGUGUUUGGAAAAACUGGGUGGGUAAAACCCAUGAUUGAAGGAAUAUGAGAAAAUGAAACAGAAUUGUAACAAGAAAAUAAAAAUAAGUGAGAGUUCAAAGGAGUAGAUAUCGUGAAUAAAAGCCAUCUAUUGUGUGCGCAAGAUUGAUCUAUUAUUGAUGAAUGGAAAAUAAAAAGACAUGGAAAAGUAAACAGGGGAAAAUGAUAACUUUACUUGAUCUCAUUCGAAACAAAAGCACUUAAGUCGUUGCUGAUUGUCUUCAAAGCAUGGCACCAUCCACCCAGGUUGUGUGAACUAUCGCUGUGAUCUUUUAAAAGCCUAGCAAGUGCCCUUGCGAAAGGGCCUCUCAGCUCUUGAACAUCAGUUGGAUCUACACGGUAAAAAACUGGCAAAACUAUUUGCCCCGACUUUUCUCUGCAUUCAUUUAUCACAACAAGCUCGUCCAAGCACCAUGGAGAAUCUGCAUAGUUUUUGGAGAAUAUGACAAUUGAAAUACAUGAUUCUUGAAUUGUUUGCUUGAGGGCUGGUGUUAUUUCAGUUCCUUUUUUAAGUUUUUCAUCCUUGAAGGUAUCGAUUCCCUUUUCCUUCAAAGAUUCAAAGAGAAAGGAGAGGAAACCGUCGCGGAUGUCUUUGCCUCUGAAAUUAAUAAAAACUUCAUAGUUAUUUAGCUCGGAAGGGGUUUGCUGGGAAAAGGUUGAGGAUGGAGAAGAAGCAGCAUUGGUAUUAAUGAUAAAAGAAGCGGUUCGCUGGGAAGAGGUUGAAGCAGAAGAAGAGAAAGAAGAACCCAUAACGGAAAAUUCAAAUGAUACAAGAAGCCGUAGAACGAGAGUUUUAUAUGUCAAAGUUGGUUGUGGUGUGCCCACUUAAAUGGGACCCAUAUGUGCAAAAGAAAGAAAAAAAAAAAAAAAAGGAAAACGUGUUAUUUGAAAAAGAAGAAAAUUUGGCAAAAGUUGGCAAUUUUUUUUUUGACAAAGUAUGGAGACAUGAAUGAGUUAUACACGACUCAUUCACUGAACUGAUUAUAAAAGGAGGCAGACGAAGUUCAUUUAAAUACAACACAAAUAGGGAGUGAUAGCAAUUGUGAGAAAUAGCAAUUGUAAGAGAGAAAAAUAGAGAUUAUCCAAGAAGAAAAGUUAAACUUAAUUCUUCGGGUAUUCUUUUAUAGAGGAUUGUGAGUGUAUGUAAACACUUUAUUUAUUUUUGUCUUAUAAAAGAUCUAUGGUAGUCCGGAGACGUAGGCAAGAUUGGCCGAACUCCGUUAUCAAAUUAUGUGUUAUUAUUUUCUUUUGCUCCCUCAUAAAUCUGACUUAUUGGGGAUUUUGCGUAAUUUUUUCCAACAUUAUAAAACGUAGAGGAGUGUAUAUAAAGCUAAACCAUUUAGAUUUAAGAGUCAUCAUCCCAGAAACUUCAAAGAAGAUUUAAGAAAGUGAGUGAGUGGAAGUGGGAAAGAGAGAAAAGUGGGGCGAUGCGAGAGUAAAGCAAAGAGAGACAUUUUAGUGCGUGCGUGAGCGGAUCUAAUGUGCCGUGUUUGCCGCUUCGCUUGAUUUGUAUAAUUAGAGUUUAUUGCUCACUUGUAAAAGCUAUUUCCAUUGAAUCCAAUUGCUGAUAAGUAUAAAAAAUCAUAGUAUAAAUACCGAGGAAAAUUGACCUCACAAUCAUAAUUUAAUAAUUUUUUUAAAUAAUAAUUAUGUAACUCUUGGUCAUAAUUUGAAAAUUUCAAGAAAUAUUUUAAGCAUAAAAAAUACUAUAUUAUUAAUUAAUCUAUUUAGUUACUCAAAAAUCAAAGAAUCCACCGUUAACGUCGUUAAUAUUUAGAUAAUCAAAAUAUAAUCAAUGUCCAUUAUCCAUAUUAAAACUAUCAUUUGAAAUGAUAUAUUGUAUGAUAAGUAACUUAUUAUAUUAAUUUACUUUAACAAAUUAAUAAUUAAUAUAUAUACUUAUCGGUCCCAUAAAUUUAACAGGCAAAAAAAAAUAUGGGGAAUAUUUUGGUAUUUAUACAUGGAAGGAGGGAGGAAAAGGGGGAAGAAAGACACAAUAUGAACACCAUCAUUGCAGUAGUCAAAAAAGAAAAUUGAAGGGAAUAUUUUCUAGUUAUACAUGGGAGGAGGAAGAAAGACGCAAUGACUUAGGUUAACGACUUAGGUUACGUUUUGUUGUGGGGUGCCCAUUCUGUGGGACCCACACAUUGUUGAAAAUAAAAAAGGAAACAUGUGGGUCCUAUGGGAUCCAUAAGCUUUGACAAAAGAAAGAAAAAUAGAGAAGGAAAUUCGGUCGACACGUUAUAUUUUCAGUGUACGCGUUACUCUUCUCUUAUAAAUAGAAGAGGAUGCAAUGCUUCAAAACACACACAUCAGAAAAAAAGAAAAAUAAAAUUUAGGGAGAGAGAGUUAUUUAGUUUUGGGAAGGGUUUCAUAAAACUAGGGGAAAAAAAUAUUGAGAAAAUUAUUAUAGGGUGUUUUUGGGAAACACUUUGAGUGCCACUAUUUUUGUAUUACUCUCUUUGAGUACCUACUAUUUUUAAUAGUGGAAGAGUUAUUCAGAGUUUGUCUCGUGGACAUAGCCCUAAACAGUUGAGGGUGAACCAUGUAAAUUUCUGUGUGUCACAAUUUUGAUUAUUCCGUUGCGUUAAUUUCCUCUUACUUUAUUAAAAGGUUCCAACAAGUGGUAUCAGAGGUGAGGCAAGUGGUACCUGAGGCCCAACAACUGGUAUCAAAGCUGAUGCCCAACAAGUGGUAUCAGAGCUGAUGCCCAACACGUUUAUUUUCGGAAGAUAAAAUGUUUUCCUUUGAAAAAUAUUUUUCGAAUAAUUUUUUUUGUUGUUUGAUUGCAAUAUUAAAAAUCAGUUAAAAAUAUUAAAAUUUUAAUUCAUAAGACCAUAAAAAUAUUAAUAAUAAUAAUAGAAAUUUCGUAUUUUAAAAAUUUUAUUGUUAAAUAUGAGAAGAAUGAAAAAAAAAUAAAUUAUGAAAGUUGUCAGUGACCGAUGGUGGGGGUCGACGGUAUCCGCUAGUGAUGAAUAAUAGCUAUCAAUGAUUAAUAAAUUAAAAAAUUAUAAGGUUAUAAUAAGUUUGUUAAUGUCCGGAAAAUGUUUUACUUUUCAUUUUUAAUCAAAAAUACAUAAGCAAAUUAUGUAUUUCAUUUUUUUUCGUAAACUCUGUCUCCAUUGACAAGACUUAUGUGAGAGACAUCGUCACAUACAGGAUCGGCAUGAGAGUCGUCAUUGGAAAAUUGAUUUCCUUUAUAUUCUUCUAAUAUUUCAUUUAUGUUUUUAUCGUCUUUUUCUCCAUUGGUAUUGGCUGCGAUUCUACGAUUUUUUUUCUUAUCGGAAAUCUAUCACUGCCAUGAAUGUUGUUUAUGCUCUAAAGGAAAAUAGGACUCUCGAUUAUACUUAAAUUAAUAUUGAUACAGUAAAUAUACACCGUUUUACUUGUUUUGAUCAAAUGUAUUAAUUGAUGUGUGUGUGCACAGGUGUGUGUGUGUGUAUAUAUAUAUAUAUAUAUAUAUAUAUAUAUAUCAAUCUGUUACUGUUUGGAGCAAAAUUUGUAUCAUAUGAAACUAAAUAGUCGGGCUUGGCCAUUUAAAAUGAUAGUUUUAAUAUGGAUAAUGGAUAGUAAUUAUAUUUUGAUUAUCUAAAUAUGAACAGUGAAUUCUUUGAUUUUUGAGCAAAAAUGGUUAAUUAAUAAUAUAGUAUUUUUUAUGCUUGAAAUACUUCUUGAAAUUUUCAAAUUAUGACAGAGUUACAUAAUUAUCUAAUUGUGAUUUAAAAAAAUUAUUAAAUUAUGAUUGUUAGGUCAAUUUUUAUCAGUAUUUUAACUUGAUCAGCAAUAAACUGUAAUUAUUCAGAGUUGGUCCCACGACGUAACAUUAAACAAGGUGAACCAUGUAAAUUUCUGUGUGUCACAUUUCUGCUGCGUAAUUAUUCUCGUAAUUUUAUUGCCGGCUCCUAACAAAAUAUAUUCUCGUAUCAUUGGAAUUCUCCGUUAUGGGUUCUUCUUUCUCUUCUUCUGCUUCAAUCUCUUCCCAGUGAACCCCUUCUUUUAUCAUUAAUUCCAUUGCUGCUUCUUCUCCUUCCUCAACCUCUUCCCAGAUUGCCAAAUAACUUAGGAGAUUUAAAAUCUCUGGGGGAACUCAUUGCAACAAGAAGUGGCAUACAAACAUUACCAUCUUCAUUGUCUGGUUUGAAUCUGUUACAGGAACUUAUUCUAGUUGAUUGUGGGAUAUCAGAAAUUCCAGAGAGCACUGGAUCAUUAGUUUCAUUAAAAGAGUUAUAUUUGGAUGGAAAGGUUUUCGAAAGCAUUCCUUGAAGCAUCAAACAACUUUCUAACUUGGUUAUCCUUAGCUUGAAUGAUUGUAUGAGGCUUAGAUAUUUUCCAGAGAUUUCAAUCUUAUUUUCUUUUUCUGCGUCAAAUUGCACAUGUCCAUUCUUUCAUUCGAACUGGAGAGGGAUGAUGAUAUUUUGGGUUUCUGCUUUUGUGCUCUUAUUGAUCCCCAACUUCUUCAUUCUCAUGAUCAAGGUUCCAUUAAAUGUUUUGCGGAAUUCGAAGAUAAAUCUGGAAAGAUACAUGACUUUUAUUUUUCACGUAGGCUGUUGAUGCCUAAGUUAGAUUCAAAACAUGUGCUCCUUUGGUACAAAUCUUUCGACUGUGAAGAGCAUUUCACUCGGGCCUCAUUCCACUUUGCUAUUAGUAAUAGUUAUGAACCUAGUUAUAAUAGGGAAGGGAUGAUUAAGUGUAGAGUUCAUCCCGUAUCUCGGGAACAAUAUAGGACACCAAAAUAAGAAAUGAUUCAAACCAGUAAGGAUGGUAAUGGAGAGUCCCAGACAAGGAAACGGUCGGCGAAUGCUGAAUUUUGGGAUAAGAAUUCAAGACCAAGACUCUGAUUAAAGGAAUUUCUAGUUUCGUGCGUUUCUCUUUGGGAUUUUGAUUAACUAAACUUCGGUUUUUCAUUCAAGUCUUUGGUUUCUAAGUUUCUGCAGUUGUAUGUUGGCUUUGUAUCUCAAGGGCUUGUUGCAGUUGGUGGAAGAUCUUUAAUCAUGUUUGCAGUUAUCCUAAAUGCUUGCAAUUAUUUGCUAAUUUGGAGUUUUGGAGGGAAGUAUAGAUUGAUCUUUAAAAGAUGUUUGCUUCAUUUCAAUUGCUCUUUAAAACAAAUUUUGUAAAUUGGUUCAAUUAUAUCAGCAACUCACAUAAUAUAAUGUUAGAACCAUUUUCUAUCAAUGAUAAUUUAUUUUGUCCCCUCUGUGUUUUAUUGUAUUAUUAUUUUUCCGGUAAUCAAUUAAUUAAAAUUGAGGUAACAGUAGUCAAUUAAAACUCAUAUUCUUUCGACCUUUUAUGCUAUAUCAGCCUAUCAAGUCUAUUGUUUUUCUUUUCUUUUUAUUUAUUUAUGUAUUAGGAAGUUUCAUAAAUUAGAAUGAUACCCUCUUUAAUUCAUUAAAUUAUAAAAAAUUUUAUAAUAAAACUGAUAAAAUCAUACUUGAUUAACUUUUUUAUGAAAUUAAAUUAAUUUUUAAAAAUAUUCUUACAUUUAAAAAUAUUUCUUUGAUAAUAUAGAAUCUAAAUAAAUAAUUAACCAAAAAUAAGAAUCUCAAUUCUUUACAAUUAAACUAAUACAAUUAGAUGCCAUUUAAAAAUCUUUUCAUCAUAAAUGUAUUGUAUCUGAUGCAACUGACUUUACACAAGCUUUCUCGUCAAGACGGGUGAUUAAGGUUGGAAGGUAACAAUUAAUUUGACUUUCCUAUAAUUUUUUUUUUUUGAAAUUCUAUUUUUCUAAGAAAAUAUAUUUCCAUAAAAAAAAUUGAAUUUCGGGAAAAAAGAGUUCAUCUUACCUUAUAAUAGUUAAAAUAUUAAGUUUUAUUUAAUUUAGUAUAUCUCAAAAAAAAAAAAACUAAAUCAAACUAUUAGGAUAAAAUUGCAAAUUUUACAGUAUGAAGGAUCUUACAUGCAUUAGUUUGGGUCUACAAGAUUAUCAAAAUCUAAGAAAAACUCAUCACGCUCUACACAUGCCUGUCCAUCUUCAUCUUCAUCUUCCAGGAAAAGGAAUGGACAUGAUACAAAUUGUCAAGAGAUGCAAUUUGAUGCAGAAAAUAUUCUUUAGAAUGGAAGUUAUGUCAAAUUUCUUAGCCUCUUACAAUCAUUCAACUUAGAAAGUAGAAUCAUGCUUGGCGGUAUGCUUUUGAAAUCGUUUUCAUCUAAAUAUAACUCUUCCAAUGAAAUUAAUGACCCAAUGCUCUCUGGAAUUUCUGAUAUACCACACUUAUUCAGAUAAAAUUUCCUUAGGCAAUUCAAACCAGACAAAGGAGGCAAUGUCAUCAAACCUUUACAUCCCUCGCAACAUAAGAAUUCCAAUUUGCUCAAUUGAUUGAUAGAUGAUGGUAAUAUUUUUAUGCCACUUGCUUUUGCUUCACGCUCCAUCCGCAAUUUUAAAUCUCCAAAAUUAUCUAGCAAUCCGUUGAAUUUCAAACAAUCUGUAACAUCAAUGCCUUCAGGAGAUUUUAACCCACAAAUACUUUGUGGGGUGGAACUAGACUUCAAGAAUUGGGAUUAAGGAUCAAUAUAAAUAUUUACGUGAGUUGCUGAUAAUAUUGAACCAAUUUACAAAAUUUGUUUUAAAGAUCAGUUGAAAUGAAGCAAACCUCUUUUAAAGAUCAAUCUAUACUUCCCUCCAAAACUCCAAACUAGCAAAUAAUUACAAGCAUUUAGGAUAACUACAAACAUGAUUAAAGAUCUUCCACCAACUGCAACAAGCCCUUGCCAACGUACAACUGCAGAAAAUUAGAAAUAGAUUAGCUAUUAUGAGUGUUAAUAUCCAAGUAACAGCCAAUAAUAAGCUGAUUCUCUCCACUACCGUGAUGCUGUGAAUUGAAAACUGAAGUCUACCAAAAUCCCAAAGUAAUACACACGAAACUAGAAAUUCCUUUACCUAUUGUCAAUUUCCAUUUGCCAUACAAAUUGACCUUAAUCAGAUUCUUUGCCUCAAUUUCUUCUCCUAUAAUUCAGCGUUCGCCACUUGUACUGUAUCCUUAUCUGGUUCUCCCUGAUACCAUCCUUCUUGGUUUUAAUCAUUCCUUAUUUCAGCUUUCCUAUAUCUUCCCGAUGUAUAGGAUGCAUGCCACAAGUGAUCGCCCUCCCAAUACUGGCACCACCUUUUCUGGGAUACUUUACAGAGAAUUGAUAAACAUGGAAUGAGACUCGAGUGAAAUUCGGCUCAUGAUCAAAAGAUUUGCACCUAAGGAACACAUGUUUUGAAUCUAAUUUAGGAAGCCCAAAAUAUGGCAAAUCAAAGUCACAGACAUACUCAUACAUCUUUUCAGAUUUAUCUUGGAAGUUCGCAUAUCCUGUAAUGCCAUAUUCAUCCAAAUCAAAAUCUUGGAAAUCAAUAACAGCGGAAAAAUAAAAACCCAAAACACGAUCAGGCCUUUCCAACUGAAAUGAAAGAUGAGACCCACUUGUUCGAUAUUUCAUAAUUUGUGGCACUUCCACCACCCCAGGGAUACAUAAUUGACACUGCUACUCCAUGAAAAUAUACUUUGUUAAGGAAUAUCAUAGUUAAAUAACGAUAGAGUUGAAUUUAAAUAGCUGAUGAAUGAGUAAAUGGAUAAUUUAAACACAAAUUUGAAAAAACGUCCAUAACAACUAUUGAAAUCUUUUCGUGAUAUUUUUUUUAUGGUAAGAUGAUAUAUAGUUCAAUUUUAUUAUGUUUAUCUCUUUUCCCUUGUCAAAGCAUAAAUUAAUUAAGAAAUUCACAAGUUAGGAAAAUAUUCCAUUGAUGUUUAUCUUCGAAAAUCUUAAUUAACAUUUUUUUUUAAUAAGGACUUCUUUAUUAAUUUAAUAUUAGAGAAAUGAAACAUACGUGCUGGUCUGGGUGUGUUGAGAAUGGGGCCUCCAUAAUCUGAAGACGUAAUUUAUCACCCAAUUUGAUGCAGUUACCAAAAUUAAGAUCAGUGUACCGAAAGUCAUCUUCUGUUUCUGCUUUGGAAAAGGACGAAAAUGAUACGAAUUCUAAAGAGGUGCAAUUUGAUGCAGAAAUUGACCAUGUGCAUGGAAGCUCUGGCAAAUAUCUAAGCCUCUUACAAUCAUCCAACAUAAGAGUCUCUAAGUUAGAAAGUUGUUUGAUGCUUGAAGGAAUGCUUUCGAAAGCGUUUCCAUCUAAAUAUAAAUCUUUCAAUGAAACUAAUGAUCCAAUACUCUCUGGAAUUUCUGAUAUACCACAGUUACCCAGAUGAAGCGUCUGUAGGCUAUUCAAACCGGACAACGGAGGCCAUACCGUCAAACCAUUACAUCCUGCAAAGUAUAAAUAUUCCAAUCGGCUUAAUUGAUUGAAAGAGGAUGGUAAUGUUUUUAUGCCACUUCCUGUUGCGUUAAGUGUCUUCAGAGAUUUUAAAUAUCCAAAGUUAUUUGGAAAUGUGCUGAAUUUCAAACCUCUAACAUCAAUGUGUUCAAGAGAUUGUAACUGGCCAAUGCAGUUUGGAAGAUUUUGAAGCUUUGUACACCAGCUUAACGAUAAUACAACAAGUUGAGAGCAAUGUCCAAUUGAUGAAGGCAAUUGUUUUAUUGCAGUUUUACUUAAAUUUAAAUCCCUUAAAUUGCAAGGAUGCUCUGGACAUUCUUUAAGUUUACUGCAACCAUGAAGAUUGAGAAUCUAAAGAUUUUCUAACUGAAGGAAGCUUGGCAAACUGCUAAUACUUUCACAGUACUCUAAGUGUAGCCGAGCAAGCUUGGCUGAAUAUUUAAGAGAUGAAGGUAUCUCAAUGAAACGUCUACAUCUUGACAAAUAUAAUCCCUCAAGCUUUCGGGCUUGAAAUGAGUCCGAAAUUCUCAAUAAAGACACAGAGGUAUUGAGGUCCAUCAAUUUCAAACUUUUAAAAGGCUGUAAUUCUCAAUAUGAAUGAUUAAAAUUUAAUGUUUAAUUUAGUAUAGCUAAACUUUAAAAAGUGCAGUACCUUACUAUCUCCUUUCCACAGUUGUUUGAGCUGGCUGCUAGGCAAGCGAAGUUCUACAAGAUUAUUUGGGCAAAACUUCGACGGCAAAGAUUCCAAAGGGUAAAAAAGCCAAGACAAAUAUCUUAGCUGUUCCCGAAGAAAGUUAAGGCCAUCAGGCAAAAUCCAUUUGGAAUCAGUGAUUCUGAGGAAUCUAAGAUUAGGUAUCUUCAUGAAACUUUUGGAACUUAUUUCAAUAGAUCCAGCAGUCAAAAAAGGAGGCGAAAUGCAAUCAAUCUUAUCAAUUUCCUGGUAAAACGAACGACAAAUUAAAAAUGAAUAUAUAUAUAUAUAUAUAUAUAUAAAGGUAUGAGUAUAAAAUAUUUAAAAAGAAAAGCUAUUGGAAUCAUCAUUAAUUACGUUGAGUGGUAAGUUCAAAAGUAGCAAAUUUUGCUCCUUACUGUAUUUGUUUUGAAUACAUGAGAAAUGUCCUUAGGAUUCCACAACCCACUACGUCCUCCAGGCUGUUUGCAUUCCUCAUUCACAAUCUCCUUUCCCAUUUGUUGUAGUAAGUUAUGCAUUUCUACUUUACGAUCAUAUUUUCGAAUGGCGAUGAGAGAUUUAUCAAUGAGACUCCUUAUUCCACAUCUUACAAAGAAACCAAAACUUUCUAUUAUUUUUUCAAGCUCAUUUUAAUGUGUAUCUCCUUUUCCAAAGAAACAUGCGAUAUCCAGAAAUAUGCUCUGCUCAUUCCUAUCUAACCCAUCAUAACCUAGUUUUAGAACAUCUUGAAUUCUCUUGUUCGGGAUGCUUUUCAAUUUUAGCAACUGGCUCUCCCAGUACUCUUUCUCCUUGCCAUAAAGGCUAGAGCCUAAAACUUUUAGUGCUAAUGGAUUGCCUUGAGCAUAACGUAUCACCUCCUUGGAUAGCAAAACAUAUCCUUCUUUCGGUUCAUCUUGAUGGAAAGCAUGCAAGCUAAAGAGUUGAAGAGCUUCCUUAUAAAUUAAUCCCUUAACCUGAUAAAUAUGUUCUUCACGACAAACAUUUUUAAGCACUUGUCUAUCUGUACUAGUUAUAAUGAUUCUACUUCCCUUACGGUACAAACUACUGUUUCCAGCUAAAAGAUCUAAAUCGUUUGAAUCAUCAAUGUCAUCAAAAACAAUAAGAACUUUCUUUUUUUGCAGUCUUCUCAUAAUCCAAUCAUCUAAUACUAAAAGUGGUAAGCCUAUUUUGAAAUAUUCGUCUCCCAAUAGUGAACGAAUGAUUUUAUCCCGUAAAACAAUUGCUGUUUCCUUCCUUAUUUGUUCCUUGACAUUUGAAACAAAGCAGUGGGCAUCAAAUUUAGCCUUGAUUUGGGAAAACACUAUACCGGCAAGAGUUGUCUUUCCAAUACCAGCCAUUCCCGAAAUUCCUAUUGUCCAAUUUCUGUCAUUUACAUCAAUAUCCAAUAACGAUAUUACUCCCUCGACACGUGAAUGAAUUCCAACUAACUUGUCAUGGUAACUAGCAUUUGAUGGCAUAUGACUUAACAUCUCUGAAACACGAUUGACGAUUCUUUGAACUAGCAUUUGGUCAUUUCUGAUCACAUAUGAAAAAUAAAAAGUAAGCCAAAACUUAUAUAUUCUAGAAUAGAAUAAAUUAAGUGUUUGGAAGAACUGGGUGGGUAAAACCCAUGAUUGAAGGAAUAGAAGAAAAUGAAACAGAAUUUUAACAAGAAAAUAAAAAUAAGUGAGAGUUCAAAGGAGUAGAUAUCGUGACUAGAAGCCAUCUAUCGUGUGCGCAAGAUUGAUCUAUUAUUGAUGAAUAGAAAAUAAAAAGACAUGGAAAAGUAAAUAAGGGAAAAUGAUAACUUUACUUGAUCUCAUUCGAAACAAAAGCACUUAAGUCGUUGCUGAUUGUCUUCAGAGCAUGGCAGCAUCCACCCAGGUUAUGUGAGCUAUCGCUGUGAUCUUUUAAAAGCCUAGCAAGUGCCCUUGCGAAAGGGCCUCUCAGCUCUUGAACAUCAGUUGGAUCUACACGGUAAAAAACUGGNNNNNNNNNNNNNNNNNNNNNNNNNNNNNNNNNNNNNNNNNNNNNNNNNNNNNNNNNNNNNNNNNNNNNNNNNNNNNNNNNNNCAUAGUUUUUGGAGAAUAUGACAAUUGAAAUACAUGAUUCUUGAAUUGUUUGCUUGAGGGCUGGUGUUAUUUCAGUUCCUUUUUGAAGGUUUUCAUCCUUGAAGGUAUCGAUUCCUUUUUCCUUCAAAGAUUCAAAGAGAAAGGAGAGAAAACCGUCGCGGAUGUCUUUGCCUCUGAAAUUAAUAAAAACUUCAUAGUUAUUUAGCUCGGAAUGGGUUUGCUGGGAAGAGGUUGAGGAAGGUGAAGAAGCAGCAUUGGUAUUAAUGAUAAAAGAAGGGGUUCGCUGGGAAGAGGUUGAAGCAGAAGAAGAGAAAGAAGAACCCAUAAUGGAGAAUUCCAAUGAUACAAGAAGCCGCAGAAGGCGAGUUUUAUAAAAUGUAGAAGAGUAUAUAUAUAUAUAUAUAUAUAUAUAUAUAUAGCUUAACCAUAGAGAUUUGAGAAACACACUCACACAGACAUCAGCUUUAGGAAAGUGAGUGAGUGGAAGUAGGAAAGAGAGAAAAGUGAGGCGAUGGAGAGUCAAGCAAAAAAGAGAGUCAACUGAAUCCAAUUGCUGAUAAGUAUAAAAAUCAUAGUAUAAGUACUGAGGAAAAUUCACCUCACAAUCAUAAUCUAAUAAUUUUUUUUAAAUCAUAAUUAGAUAAUUAUGUAACUCUUUGUUAUAAUUUGAAAUUUUCAAAAAAUAUUUCAAACAUAAAAAAAUACUAUAUUAUUAAUUAAUCUAUUUAAUUGCUCAAAAAUCAAAGAAUCCAUAGUUAAUGUUAUUAAUGUUUAAAUAAUCAAAAUGAAAUCACUGUCCCUUAUCUACGUUAAAAAUAAUAUAUUUGCCUUAAAUUAUAUAUAUAUAUAUAUAUAUAUAUAUAUAUAUAUUAUACAUCAUAAUAUAUAAAAAUAAUUAUACCAUUAAUAGUCAUUUUAUAUUUUAACAGCAACUUAACAUUUUACCAAAUACGAAUAGUAAUCAGCUAAUCGCUAUUAAUCAUGAGUUACUAACUACCAGCAACCCCUAUCAAUUAGCAGCUGGUAUGAACCGCUACACUAAAGGGCUUUAAUAAAUCAACAUUCUCAAAUCUCCAUCUCAUCUUAAAGCUCCAUCUUCUUCUUCUCAACUCUCCCAAUCUCCUCUUUUAUUAUAUUGCCAUAAUUUGAAAAUUUUGAUAAAUAUUUCAAGCAUCAAAAAUAUUAUAUUAUUAAUUUAUUUAUUUAGUUGCUAAAAAUUAAAGAAUCCACCCUUAAUGUUUAGAUAAUCAAAAUAUAAUCAUUGUCCAUUAUCCACAUUAAAACUGUCAUUUGAAAUUAUAUAUUGUAUAAUAGGUAACUUAUUAUAUAAAUUUACUUUAAAUUAAUAAUUAAUAUGUAUACUUCUCAGUCCCAUAAUUUUAAUGGGCAAAAAAAAUAAAAAAGGAAUUCUAUCCCUCUUGUUUAUUGGAUUUAUUUCCUUGAUUAAUGCAAUAAUAUUAUCUUUCAAAAAAAAAAAUUUUAAUAGGCAAAAAAGAAAAUUAUUGGGAAUAUUUGGUAUUUAUACAUGGAAAGAGGGAGGAAAGCUGAAGAUACAAUGAUAAUAUUGGUGAAAUCAAAGGGUUUGAUGAUUUUGAGGUGGUUCUUUGAUUUGUUCAUGGCUAGGAGCCAAAUUUCUAUAGUCGGUUGCUUUUACUAAUAAAUUGAAUAGGCCUAAACAUCCAGUAUGAGCUGGAAAAUCAAAUUAGCAGGGUUAUUUUGAUGCGCAGACUAUAAAUAAUAUUCUCAUAAUUGCUUUUGUUACAAAUUAAAUUUAGAGAGAAAGAAAAUAAUUUUUUCUAUCAAAUAAAACUAAUAGAGUUAUAAUAAAGUCAUAUUUGAUAAAAAUUAAUUGAAUAAUGUAGUUACAUUAGCAAAAAAAAAAUUAAAAUAUUGAUUUCAAUUCACUAAAAUUUAUUUCAUCAAAAUUAAAUAUUCUUAUAAUACCUCAUCCAAUUUGAACAUGUGAGAAUUUUAAAGAGCAAAAAAAAAAAAAUAACUAACUAUAUAAGUUGAAUUACAAUAAUUUACUCACAAUAAUUAAUUGUGCUAUUUAAUAUUUUAGUUCAUUACUUGAGAAUCAAAAAGAGCUUAUAAUUUUACUUUUCAUUUUUAAUUAAAAAUACAUAAGCAAAUUAUUUAUUUCAUUUUUUUUUCAUAAACAUUGUCUCCAUUGACAAGACUGAUGUGAGAGUCAUCAUCACAUACAGGAUCGGCAUGAGAGUCCUCACCAGAAAAUUGAUUUCGUUUAUAUUCUUCUAAUAUUUCAUUUAUAUUUUUAUCGUCUUCUUCUCUAUUGGUAUUGGUUGCGAUUCUACGAUUUUUUUUCUUAUUGAAAAUCUAUAACUGCCAUGAAUGUUGUUUAUACUCUAAAAAAAGACAGGACUCUCGAUUCUGCUUAAAUUAAUAUUGAUACAGUAAAUAUACAUCGUUUUUACUUGAUUUGAUCAAAUGUGUUAAUUGAUGUAAAUAUAUAUAUCAAUCUGUUAUUGUAUGGAGCAAAAUUUGCAUCAUAUGAAACUAAAUAGUCGGGCAUGGCCAUUUUAAAUGAUAGUUUUAAUGUGGAUAAUGGAUAGUAAUUAUAUUUUGAUUAUCUAAACAUUAACGGUGAAUUCUUUAAUUUUUGAGCAAAACAGAUUAAUUAAUAAUAUAAUAUUUUUGAUGCUUGAAAUGUUUCUUGAAAUUUUCAAAUUAUGACCAAGAGUUACAUAAUUAUCUAAUUGUGAUUUAAAAAAAUUAUUAAAUUAUAAUUGUCAGGUCAAUUUUCCUCGGUAUUUUGACUUGAUCAGCAAUGAACUGUACUUAAUACAAAUCAAUGGUUUAGCUUUAUAUAUACUCUUCUGCUUUUUAUAAAACUCGCCUUCUACGGCUUCUUGUAUCAUUUGAAUUCUCCGUUAUGGGUUCUUCUUUCUCUUCUUGUGCUUCAACCUCUUCCCAGAUUGCCAAAUAACUUAGGAGAUUUAAAAUCUCUUGGGGAACUCAUUGCAACAAAAAGUGGCAUACAAACAUUACCAUCUUCAUUGUCUGGUUUGAAUCUGAUGCAGGAACUUAUUCUAGUUGCUUGUGCUAUAUCAGAAAUUCCAGAGAGCACUGGAUCAUUAGUUUCAUUAAAAGAGUUAUAUCUGGAUGGAAACGGUUUCGAAAGCAUUCCUGCAAACAUCAAACAACUUUCUAACUUCGUUAUCCUUAGCUUGAAUGAUUGUAUGAGGCUUAGACAUUUGCCAGAGAUUCCAAUCUUAUUUUCGUUUUCUGCAUCAAAUUGCACCUCUUUAGAAUUCGUAUCGUGUCCAUUCUUUUCCCAUGAAGAUGAAGAUGGAUUUCUGUUUGUAUGUCUUAACUUUAUUAAUUGCAUCAAAUUGGGCGAAAAUGUAGGUAUUAAAAUUAUAGAAACCGUAUUGUCACCACAUUCAAACAUAGAGGUAUGGUUCCUUUCUCUAAUGUUCCACUCUAUUUUGAAACAGCUUUGAGAGUCCUAACUUAAGUGUUAAUUUGACUGUAUUUUUCCCAAUUUUAUUUUCAUGGGACAGGUGUUCGGAAUAUGUAUCCCUGGGAUGGAAGUACCGCAAAGUAUGAGAUAUCAGACAAGUGGAUCUCAUCUUUCAUUCGAGCUGGAGAGGGAUGAUGAUAUUUUGGGUUUCUGCUUUUGCGCUGUUAUUGAUCCCCAACUUCUUCAUUCUCAUGAUCAAGGUUCCAUUAAAUGUUUUGCUGAAUUCAAAGAUAAAUCUGGAAAGAUCCAUGGCUUUUAUUUUUUCAGGUAUGCUGUUGAUGCCUAAGUUAGAUUCAAAACAUGUGCUCCUUUGGUACAAAUCUUUCGACUGAGAAGAGCAUUUCACUCGGGCCUCAUUCCACUUUGCUAUUAGUAAGAGUUAUGAACCUAGUUAUAAUAGGGAACCGAUGAUUAAGUGUAGUGUUCAUCCUGUUUCUCGGGAACAAUAUAGGAAACCAAAACAAGAAAUGAUUCAAACCAACAAGGAUUGUAAUGGAGAGCCCCAGACAAGGAAACGGUCGGCGAAUGCUGAAUUUUGGGAUAAGAAAUCAAGACCAAGACUUUGAUUAAAGGAAUUUCUAGUUUCGUGUGUUUCUCUUUGGGAUUUUGAUUAACUAAACUUCAGUUUUUAAUUCAAAUCUUUGGUUUCUAAGUUUCGGCAGUUAUGGGUUAGCGCUGUAUCUUUAGGGCUUGUUGCAGUUGGUGGAAGAUCUUUAAUCAUGUUUGUAGUUAUCCUAAAUGCUUGUAAAUUUUAAUUAUUUGCUGUCAUCCUAAUGUCUUUAAUUAUUUGCUAGUUUGGAAUUUAGGAGGGAAGUAUGUAAUAAUGUACAUGAUUCAAUAACCUAGAUUUUUAAAAGAUGUUUGCUUCAUUUCAAUUGAUCUUUAAAACAAAUUUUGUAAAUUGGUUCAAUUUUAUCAGCAACUCACGUAAAUAUUUGGGUCUACAAGAUUAUCAAAAUCUAAGAAAAAAUCAUCACGCUCUACACAUGCCCGUCCAUCUUCAUCUUCAUCUUCCAGGAAAAGGAAUGGACAUGAUACAAACUGUAAAGAGAUGCAAUUUGAUGCAGAAAAUGUUCUUGAGAAUGGAAGUUGCCAAAUUUCUUAGCCUCUUACAAUCAUUCAACUUAGAAAGUAGUUUGAUGCUUGCAGGUAUACUUUUAAAAUCGUUUUCAUCUAAAUAUAACUCUUCCAAUGAAAUUAAUGACCCAAUGCUCUCUGGAAUUUCUGAUAUACCUCACUUAUUCAGAUAAAAUUUCCUUAGGCAAUUCAAAGCAGACAAAGGAGGCAAUGUCAUCAAACCCUUACAGACCCUCGCAACAUAAGAAUUCCAAUUUGCUCAAUUGAUUGAUAGAUGAUGGUAAUAUUUUCAUGCCCCUUGCUUUUGCUUCACGCUCCAUCCGCAAUUUUAAAUCUCCACAAUUAUCUGGCAGUCCGUUGAAUUUCAGACAAUUUGUAACAUCAAUUCCUUCAAGAGAUUUAACUGACAAACACUUUGCGGGGUGGAACUAGACUUCAAGUGUUGGGAUUAAGGAUCAAUAUAAAUAUUUGUGUGUGUUGCUGAUAUAAUUGAACCAAUUUACAAAAUUUGUUUUAAAGAUCAAUUGAAAUGAAGCAAACAUCUUUUAAAGAUCAAUCUAUACUUCCCACCAAAACUCCAAACUAGCAAAUAAUUACAAGCAUUUAGGAUAACUGCAAACAUGAUUAAAGGUCUUCCACCAACUGCAACAAGCCCUUGAGAUACAAUGCCAAUGUACAACUGCAGAAACUUAGAAAUAGAUUAGCUAUUAUGAGUGCUAAUAGCCAAGUAACAGCCAAUAAUAAGCUGAUUCUCUCCACUACUGUGAUGCUGUGAAUUGAAAACUGAAGUCAACCAAAAUCCCAUAAUUCAGAGUUCGCCGCCGGUAUGUAUCCUUAUUUGGUUCUCCCUGAUGCCAUCCUUCUUGGUUUUAAUCAUUCCUUAUUCGGCUUUCCUAUUUUCUUCCCGAUAUAUAGGAUGAAUGCCACAAUUGAUCACCUUCGCACUGUCUUCACCUUUUCCGGAAAAAUUUAGAGAGAAGUGAUCAACAUGGAAUGAGACUCGAGUGAAAUUCCGUUCAUGAUCAAAAGAUGUAUACCUAAGGAACACAUGUUUUGAAUCUAACUUAGGAAGCCAAAAAUAUCGAAGAUAAAAGUUACAGCUAUAUUUAUACAUCUUUCCAGAUUUAUCUUGGAAGUUCACAUAACCCGUAAUGCCAUAUUCAUCCAAAUCAAAAUCUUGGAAAUCAAUAACAACGGAAAAAUAAAAACCCAACACACGAUCAGGUCUUUCCAACUGAACUGAAAGAUGAGACCCACUUGUUCGAUAUUUCAUAAUUUGCGGCACUUUCCCCCCAGGGAUACAUAAUUGACACUGUUGCUCCAUGAAAAUAUAUUUUGUUAAAGAAUAUCAUAAUUAAAUAACGAUAGAGCUGAAUUUAAAUAGCUGAUGAAUGAGUAAAUGGAUAAUUUAAACACAAAUUUUAAAAAACGCCUAUAAUAACUAUUGAAAUCUUUCGUGAUAUAUAGUUCAAUUUUAUUAUGUUUAUCUCUCUUCCCUUAUCAAAGCAUAAAUUAAUUAUGAAAUUCACAAGUUAGGAAAAUAUUCCAUUGAUGUUUAUCAUCGAAAAUCUUAAUUAACAAUUUUUUUUUAAUAAGGACUUCUUUAUUAAUUUAAUAUUAGAGAAAGGGAACAUACGUGCUGGUCUGGGUGUGCUGAGAACGGGGCUUCCAAAAUCUGAAGACGUAAUUUAUCACCCAAUUUGAUGCAGUUACCAAAAUUAAGAUCAGUGUACCUGGAAGAGGACGAAAAUGAUACAAAUUCUAAAGAGGAGCAAUUUGAUGCAGAAAAUAACCUUGUGCCUGGAAGCGCUGGCAAAUAUCUAAGCCUCUGACAAGCAUCCAACACAAGAGUCUCCAAGUAAGAAAGUUGUUUGAUGCUUGCAGUAAUGCUUUUGAAAUCGUUUCCAUAUAAAUAUAACUUUUUCAAUGAAACUAAUGAUCCAAUACUCUCUGGAAUUUCUGAUAUACCAGAGUCACGCAGAUGAAGCAUCUGUAGGCUAUUCAAACCGGACAACGAAGGCCAUACCGUCAAACCUUUACAGCCCAUAAAAUUCAAACGUUCCAAUUGGCUCAAUUGAUUGAAAGAGGAUGGUAAUGUUCUUUCACUUCCUGUUGCUUUAAGUGCCUUCAGAGAUUUUAAAUAUCUGAAGUUAUUUGGCAAUGUGCUGAAUUUCAAAUAUCUAAGAUCAAUGCAUUCAAGAGAUUGUAACUGGCCAAUGGAGUUUGGAAGAUUUUCAAGCUCUGUACACCCACUUAACGAUAAUGCAACACGUUGAGAGCAAUGUCCAAUUGAUGAAGGCAAUUGUUUUAUUGCAGUUCUACUUAAAUUUAAAUCCCUUAAAUUGCAAGGAAUUUCUGGACAUUCUUCAAGUUUACUGCAGCCUUGAACAUUAAGAAUCUCAAGAUUUUCUAACUGAAGGAAGCUUGGCAAAUUGCGAAUACUUUUACAGUUAUCUAACUGUAGCUGAGCAAGCUUUGGGGCUUGAAAUGAGUCCGAAAUUCUCAAUAAAGACGGAGAGCUGCGGAGGUCCAUAACUUUCAA